RNAcentral lists this long non-coding RNA (50863 nucleotides) under Ananas comosus (pineapple). Its description in RNAcentral is "long non-coding RNA (ACOM_LNC032525)". The record is from RNAcentral. Lineage: Eukaryota; Viridiplantae; Streptophyta; Magnoliopsida; Poales; Bromeliaceae.
UGCAAGAGUGUGAGAGUGAAGAGUGAGAUAUAGUGAAGUAAGGGUGUGAGUGGUGGUGUGAGGUGAGGAAGUGUUGUGAGGUGUAGUGAAGUAGUGAAGUGAGUGUGCGAGGUUUGUAGUCUUAUGGGUGUAUGUGAAUGAGGGUUAUUUUGUGUGUAAUAAAGAGAGUUUUAUUAUUAGCUUGGUACGCCAAUAUUCUACAAUUUGGUAUCAGAGCCAGAUUGUAGGAAAUAUUCUGCUAGUUAAGUCGGUGAAAUUCUGCCAGUCCAGGCAGUUAAAUACUGAUAUAAGCAGAGAUUCUGCUGGUGCACAGUCUGGGACUAUGAAGUUGGUCAGUCUGGGACCAGACUUACUUGGUUGACUGCUGGGCAAUCACCAAGUCACUAUGGCAGAUCUUGCUGGUACAACUAGCGAAAUUAAGAAGCUAAAUAACCAUAAUUAUGGUUAUUGGCAAACCUGCAUUGAGUCCUAUCUACAAGGGCAGGACUUGUGGGAGGUAAUCGGUGGUGCUGAAACAACUCCACCACUGAAGGAGAAUGCAGAAGUGUUCAGAAAGUGGCGUAUCAAGGCAGGGAAGGCAAUGUUCAUUCUGAAGACAACAAUUGAAGAAGAGCUGCUGGAGCAUAUCAAAGAAGCAGAUACACCCAAGGUUGCAUGGGACACCCUCGCCUCGUUAUUUUCAAAGAAGAAUGAUGCUCGACUUAAACUGCUGGAAAAUGAGCUGAUGACGAUAUCUCAGGGCAGCAUGAUGAUUAGCCAGUACUUCAUGAAGGUAAAAUCUCUCUGCCGUGAAAUUUUCCAAUUAGAUCCAGAGUCAAAAAUUAGUGACCAGCAGAUGAAGAGAAUUAUUAUUCACGGCCUAAAACCCAAAUAUAACGGAUUCAUUACUGCUAUUCGAGGUUGGCCCACUCAAUCAAUGUUGGUGGAGCUAGAAAAUUUACUGGCUAAUCAGGAGGCUCUAGCCAAACAGAUGGCUGGAGUCUCACUGAAAACUGAAGAGGAGGCACUCUUCAGCAGUAGAAGAAAAGGUCGAGCAACAGGAGGGCCAAGAAAUGUGAAGCCGCUUAAGGAGUUCAGUAGGGCAAAACAAAGGUCGGGAGAGAGCCACCUUACAGGGAGAGUCCACAACCAGAAGGAGCAAAAUACCUGGCAGUUUAAAGACAACAAACGGCGAAGCGGAGAGUGUUAUAAUUGCGGCAAGAAAGGACACUUCGCCCGAGACUGUUGGUACAUGAAGAAAUAAGUACAAGGCAAUAUGGCAACAUCAGGUGACCAUCAAGCAGCAUACAAAAGUGAAGAAUAGUGGGAUGCUCAAGCCUCCUUCGCCAUCAUGGAGUCAAAAGAAGACUGUUAUUCAAACAAGGAGAAGGCUCUCGAAGAACAAAGGUCAGCAAACACUGCUGCAGAGGAGAUGACGCCAAGUGCUAAGAAGGAAAAGCUACCAAAGCAGGUACCAAUAUAUGCAUUAACUGUUAGAUGUAUGCCCUAGAAGCCAACCAGGCCGACACAUGUAUUCUUUCUAGGACAUAAAUUUGUAUUUGACUUUAAAAUAUUAUGAAUAAAUUUGGGUUAUUAUUUCCAUUCAUGUUGUGUACGUGUCCAUGAAUCGUCCAAGGAAUUAAUAAGAUGAUGACAUAUAUUCUCAAGAGUUGAGAAUUUGAGACAUGUGUCAUUGGUGGUUAAUUCCUAAAUGCUCCCGAUCAAUGGAUCAUCACGGGGACGGUGAUUGAUCCAGUGAGAUUGGUGCAUAGGUCGCUUCCCUUUUGGGUAGACGAGUCUCGAGUCGACAGUGUGGGGACACUGAAGCGAAUAUGCAGGUGGUUGUUAGAGAACAAGGGUACCGAGCGUGACCAACGCGAGAAGUCACUUGGAUGUCUACUCACUCGUCAGUGACUUACUCAAUUGUUGCAGUAGUGUGACUGGUCCUUUGACCUGCGGUGCCUCGGCUAUUCACAAUGAGGUUACUGUAGUUUGACUGUACAUACACUUGGUCCCUAGCCAUUCGGGUCCUUGCGGUGCAUGUUGGCUGCAGUAGGUUCAUUGUAGGAAUAGGGUGCGCACUUAGAUGGAAUCUAUCUCCCUUGGUAGAUAGGGGUGUUAGUCCUAUGUGAUUUAUGAGACCGAGUUUAGAAGACCUUGGCCAGGGCAGAAUAAAUAGCGGAAAAGGGUUUCCGAUAUUAGAAACUCGAGUCGAAUAAAUUUAACAUAUGACAGACGAUGGGGUUUGACGAGUUAUUCCAUAACCUCCGUCUAGUCGGGACUCAUGAUAGAAGGAUUGUAUCACACGGUAACUGCACCAAGAGGUUCAGUAUUCCAUUCUACUGGAAUGCCACUACAUGCUGCUAGGCGUCACUGGUGGAUUGUGAGACUCAUGAGAAUUAUCUAGAUGAUCGAUAAUUCUCAUUGGGCUGAGUUGGAAUUGUUCCGAUCCACUGAAAGGAGUUUCAGUGAUAUUGUUGAUAGUGAUCAAAAUAUAUCUCACUACCAGAUAGAAUAGAACCUAUGGGGUCACACACAUAAGAGGUUGUGAUUGAUCGGAUAGCUAGAUUGCGAUUAUUGAAUCGCCGGAGGACCUAAUUGUCAAUAUGUUGAUAAUUGGACUAAUUUGUAAUUGUUACAAAUUAGUGGUAUUAAGGUGUAAAUGUUACAAGAGAGGACUUACUAAUAGUUAGUAAAUUAGAAGAAGACUUAUGUGCAAAUGUUGCAUUAUUAAUUUGAUAUGAUCAAAUUAAUAUAAAGAUCGAAUCAAAUUAGGAUUUGAUCGAUCUAACCAAUUAAGGAAAGGAUAAAUUUAAUCUAGAUUUAUACUUAUUCUUAAUUGUCGUUAUAUUAUUAGGAAUAGGAUUAUAUUCCUAUAUAUAACAUACGGGAGUUUUUAGAAAACCCUAGCCGUUAUCUCUCUUCUCUUCUCUCUUCCAUCUUUUAGCAAGAAAGACGUCAUUUUGCAAGGAAGCUAGCACCCCGGUGAGGACAUCGAUCAAAUCAAGAACCUCGUGUGGAUACCUAUAGAGGCCGGACGCGUGUGCGGCUUCAAGAGAACCGAAUUCCACGAUUAUCAAAUUGAGGGGAAGAUCUAUCUGCAAAAAAGGUAAAGAUUCGAUCUUAUUUUUCUUCUUUAAUCUUAAAACAUGAGGGAUCCUAAUUGCGUGGUUUUUGAGAUUGGAUCUCGAGAGUUUUCAAAAAUCAAAUUUGUUUGAUUUCUUUUUCCGCUGCGUUUUUACUGUACGCAAUUUUCUAACAUUAACAACAAUAGAAAAUCCAAGAGAGGUGAAUUACAGUACAGAUUGGAUCAUCGACUCUGGAUGUUCCAAUCAUAUGACCAGUGAUAAAGACAAGCUGCUCAACACAACAGAAUAUAAAGGAGGAAGAGUAGUGGUGACAGCUAACAACUCGAAGCUGCGUAUCACCCACAUAGGAAAGACAAUCAUCACACCCAGAUGCAGCUCACAUCAAGUACAACUAUAGAACGUCUGCCAUGUCCCAGGUAUGAAGAAAAAUCUCUAAUCAGUAUCACAAUUGACUGCAUCGGGCAAUUAUGUAGUAUUUGGGCCACAAGAUGUCAAGAUAUUUCGCAAUCCCAAGAUAUCAGGUAUACAAAUCACGGAAGGAAAGAAAGUAGAGUCUAUCUACGUAAUGUCUGCAGAAUUAGCAUACGUAGAAAAGACUCGGAAAAGUGAGACUGCUGAUUUGUGGCAUGCAAGACUGGGACAUGUGGGCUAUCACAAACUGAAAAUCAUGAUGGAGCGCGACAUGCUUAAGGGCUUACCUCAACUUGAAGUACGAGGAGACACUAUCUGCGCAGGAUGCCAGUUUGGUAAGGCUCAUCAACUUCCCUACACUGAAUCCAAAUAUAGAGCCAAGGUACCGCUCGAGCUCGUGCACUCUGAUGUUUUUGGACCAGUCAAGCAAACAUCAAUUAGCGGCAUGUGCUACAUGGUGACGUUCAUUGAUGACUUCUCAAGGUACGUCUGGAUAUACUUUAUUAAAGAAAAAUCUGAAGUGCUGCAAAAAUUUAAAAAAUUUAAAGAAAAAGUUGAAGGCCAAACCGGUUAUAAAAUACGAUGCAUGUGCACGGAUAAUGGAAGUGAAUAUACCUCAGCAGAGUUCUCAGCUUAUCUGCGAGAGUGCAAAAUAAGGAGACAGCUUACGUGUCCACGCACUCCGCAACAAAAUGGUAUAGCUGAGAGAAAGAAUAGACAUCUAGCAGAAACUUGCAGAAGCAUGCUGCAUGCGAAGAAUGUGCCAUGCAGAUUUUGGGCAGAAUGUAUGAGAACAGCAGCACAUGUCAUCAACCGGCUGCCGCAACCGAAGUUAGGAUUCAUCUCACCCUAUCAAGUACUAUGGAAAAUCAAACCCACAGUAAGUCAUUUUCGAGUCUUUGGAUGCGUCUGCUAUGUGUUCGUACCGGACCAUCUUCGAAGUAAAUUCGACAAGAAGGCGAUACGAUGCAUCUUCGUCGGGUACGACAGUGAAAGAAAAGGGUGGAGAUGCUGUGACCCAACAACCGGUCGUUGUUACACGUCGAGAAAUGUCGUGUUCGAUGAAGCGUCAUCCUGGUGCUCCUCACAAGAAGUUAUACUGCCAGACUCUGAAGAAAUAGAAAUCAAGCUACAAGAAAAGCUUGGAGAACAAGAACAAGAAGGAGAAAAGGUCGUGCCAGAGCAAGAAGAAAGCGGUCAACCUUCAAUAGAGCCAACCGGUGACGAGCAGCAUCUCCAGAAGUCUCCAGAACCCUGGCGAACUGACGUGCAUUAUCAAACCCCAGAAGAAUAUCGGCCAAGCCAGCUUGAAGACAUAGGUAUGCAGUUACGAAGAUCCUCUAGGCAAAGAAAACCUAAUCCUAAGUAUGCAAAUGUUGCUAUCGCCGAAGAAGAAGAGACUCCAAAAGAGCCGACCUCCUACGAAGAAGCAGUUACAAGCAAGGAGUAGAGGAACGCAAUGGACGAAAGGAUCCAGGUGCUAAAACAGAAUCAAAACAGAAGAGCAAGUAGCCGACAUAUUCACCAAACGGCUAAGCACCACAAAAUUCGAAGAGUUCCGGAAGCGAUUAGGAAUGCUCAGCAAAGUAACAUUAAGAGAGAGUUAGAGUUGAGGGGGAGUAUUGAAAGAGGCAACUCUCUCUCUCUCUUUAAUAGAACAUUCUAGAAUACUCUAUCCCUUUCCAAUUCUCUACUAGCUAAUGGAGCACUCUAGAAAACUCUAGGAACAAAGUGCUCUCUACUUGCUAAUAGAACACUUUAGUGAGUUCUAGAAGCAAGUACUCUAGAAUAUUCUAGAGUGCUCAUGUAGGUAGGUUGGAGGUCUAUAAAUAGGUGUGAGGGCUCCACACCAAGUGUGCUUGGAGUGUGCAAGAGUGUGAGAGUGAAGAGUGAGAUAUAUAGUGAAGUAAGGAUGUGAGUAGUGGUGUGAGGUGAGGAAGUGUUGUGAGGUGUAGUGAAGUAGUGAAGUGAGUGUGUGAGGUUUGUAGUCUUAUAGGUGUAUGUGAAUGAGAGUUAUUUUAUAUGUAAUAAAAAGAGUUUUAUUAUUAGCUUGGUACGCCAAUAUUCUACAACUUAGUCCUUAAAUUUGAAACAAUUAAAAUAUCAAUUUUACUCAUUUGAGUUUUACCUUUAAUAAUUUUCACUCUGAAGUUUGACUAUUAUUUCAAUUUACCAUCUGUCAAUUCUGCAGAAUCUUUUAGUGUUAGUAAGGUGGUAUUUUUUUUUUUCAGAAAGUGAACUACCAAAAGGACUUAAUUACUUGUUAUGCAAACCAAAAAUUUAGGAUGUAAAGUAAUAUGGUUUAAAACUAUGAGUAUAAAUAAAAUUUAAUGUCAAACUUGAGCACGCAAGCAAAUUAAGGUUGUAGAGAUGAGAAAACAAUUCUAUUUGUAUGGAAUCAUAAUUUACUGAAGGUGAUGGUAAAAGAAGGGAAAAAAUAGUGCUUUAAUUCCACUGCAAUUUUAUAACAUCGAAUAAGAGUAUAUAGAAAGCACUUUUAGAUUUUCUUUUUUUUUUCUUUUUUUUUUGGCAUUUUAGAGCAUAAGAGCAGUAUUUUUAGAGUGCAACUUGGCUGAGGAACUCCUCGAUGAGUUUUUAUUGAGACAGUUUAGUGAGUCGUAUGAUUCACCCCGCUUGUGAAUCUUAAGAACUAUUUUGUUCUUAAAAUUUUCUAUCCCAAUCUCAACACCGUAUUAAACGAUAAAUUUAAUCAGUUAAGGCCUAAUAAGAUUGAAUUUAUCUAACUAGCCCUUAAAACUUAUUCUGUAUGAUUGUAUUUAUAGGUGGAUUACAGUUUUCUUUUUUUCAACAAUGGAUACGAUAAAAGAGUUUCCCUUGACAAGAGAAAAGAAGAAUGUAAAAAAAAAAAAAAAGCAAUUAUUUUCGGGCUUACUUGCUGCUUUUGAAAAAAUAUGUUUACUAGAUAUCCAAUAACAAGAAUAAUAACAUUAAUUAGUAGUUGUUUGUCACGCAUUUGGCGAAAACUCUCACCUACCAUCACUAAUAUUCACCCAAACUUAAAAGGGUGCAAAUUUUGGAGGCUAAUACAGGAUGUUGCAUAGUUUUAUACUUUAUGCAUGUAAGUAUGAGAAUUACCAUGCUUUUUCUACGCAAGCGAAUUAUUGAAUGUAAACACAUACAUGAUACCAUAAUGUACGUUACAACAUCGAGAAUUUCCCAAAAAAAUUUCCAUAAAGCCUUACUAAAAUUCCUUAUUCAAAAGUUUUAUAAAAUAAUUUUCUCAGGGCAUGAUAGCUUGUCUAUACAAGAUCUCCUUUCCAUCAGCCGGAGAGUACUUAAUUGUCGGUCCUCUCGCGUCGAACAUCUCUGCUGAGGCUAAAACCUCUGAAGCAUUCCAGUACCAAGGUUGCAGAAAAGCAGAAGCAGAAGAAGAAGCAGAUAAUGGUAGCAUAACAGAGCCCCAAUCCUUGAGCCCUUUUUGUACUUCCCUCAUUCUUCGACGAACCAAUAAGCCCGCUGAAUCUUCUCUUCUAAUCUCCGUCAGGGUUCGGGUUAUAGCCAUGCAGAUGAGAAGCACAAGCACUGCAUCCUCUUCCGGCGAAAACUCGACUGCAAGAAGCUUCCAGUUUAAAAGAGCUGUGGCUUUUCCUUCCUGGCUUUCUGAAGCUCGGACCAGCGUGAAGUAUUGGUCUUCAUCUUCGUCUCGAAUAAAUUUCUUCACUUGGUAUUGUAAUCUCCUCCCUCUCAGCAAUUUAACCUGAACAGAAUUUUGGAAUGCACCAUGACCCAUCUUAGGAGAUCUUAAAUUUGAUACUAUGAUUAUCCUUAUUUACUAAGUUGAAUUUUGGUAAUAGAAUUAGCAAGCUUUAGAUUCAAAAUAAACAACUAAAGCAGCCCAGAUAUAUAUUGUGUCUAAGCGUCAAGUAGAUUUGAGAUUUUCCCAAAUAGUUAUGUUACAUUUUUUUUUUUCUAAUUACAUACAAAUAUUAACUGAUAUUCACCUUAUCUCCCUAACAUUUUUCUUCAUGAUACCAAUAUAAGCUUGAAAAAAAAAUUUCAGGAAUAUUUUUGUUCAAAAAGAUAAUGAAGUGGAUGAAUGUUUAUAAGUUUUCGUUCCAGCGAUGCCAAGUAAAGUCGAUUUAGAAAGAGAUUUCAUUGAAACAUCUUGAAGUUGAUAUCACCAAAGGCUAAGCCAUAUUUCAAGAGAUAACCAACUAGUUUCCAUAUCAAAUGCCAAAGCAGUGCGGAGAAGUUUCUUUUUAUAUUUAAAUGAGAAGAAAAGAGCGAAGAAGAUAAUAUAUUAAACAAUACCGUUUCUGUCGAGCUGUCAUUUUCUAGCUGAAUGUCCAGACCAUCCUCCCAUUGAAUAGAUAGUACAUCUCCAGUAGAGAGACACCAUGCUACGUUCUUCUCGUGCAGAUCAUCUUUCUUAGGGGUCGCUGUGCCCACAACCUUCUCUAAACACCAGGGAAACACCCCAAAGCUCUUAAUUGUAACAAAACACGCAAAGAAAGAAGUUAUCUUUUACAUAUUUAAAUCCUUUCACUUGUUAAGAGCCUGUUUGGCUUGACUGGAGCUUCUAAAGUGUCGUACUGAGAAGCACCAAUAGUUUUUAAGUCAAAAUCCCCACAACAAGUUCUCAUUAGUGUAGAAGCAGAAGCUUCAAAUCAAAGCAUCUGCCUUGGUUACCCAUAAAACUCAUUUCAGUUUCUUAUCAUAGCAAAAAUUUCAGUAUUUUUGUUAGCCAAAUGCCUAUUUACUACUUGACAUAGAGAAGCUAUUUCAGCAGCCAAGCUCCAACCGACUGUAAUAGCUAAGGAAAAAAUUAAAGCCUUUUAUCUAAGCUAAGAGAGCAAAAAUUGCAAGUUUUUCCCACGAAAGCGAGAAUUACAUAGACGAACUAGUGGUACACAACUCAAGUAUCUACUCAUUUAUAAAAGCUAAAUGCAUUUAUCGACUUGGGACAUAUCAUACCAGGAGCAAAACCGACAGAACUUGCAAUGUACGACCACGAGCCUUCCCGCACUUCUAUGAUUCUCUCCUCCCAUUUCACCGCCAUCGGAGUUUCUGCUCCUCUACGCCAUAUCCCUUUGCCUACUCUACACAAAGAAAGUAAAGAAAAAAAAUUAGUAAACGUAUUAACCCCAUAUUAUUCUUUUACAAAUUUAAAGUAGGUAGAAGAAAAAGGAAGGCAAAAAUGCAUGAUCUACCUAGUUCGAAUCACGAAACACUCCUUUCCCGUGUGAUCGAGGACUGUGCGGGAGAGCCACCGCCCUUCUUGUGGGCGAUGGGCCCUCUUUUCUAAGAUCACAUCAGAAAUCAUUGCUCCACUGUCAUCAGUCACUCGAUCAGGAACACACUUCAAUAAGUAUGAUGCCUGAACUGGAGGCGUAAUCGACGCCAGGAUCCAUGCUGGAAUGUCAAGCUUUUCCUUGAGAGUCAGGGUGGUCGCGCGCAACAAGUCGUUCCAUGAGAAAACUAGAGUUUUAAGCGACUUGCUGCUACUUAGGCAAUUAUUUCGGUGGCGGCGGACCUCUACUCUGAUUCCUUUGGUGCCAAAUUCGCAAUAAAGAUGCCAUGUCUUGCGCCAGUUUUUGGAGGAUGAUUCUGAUGCCGGCUUAUCAAGCUUCAACGAUCUAUGACACCGUAGAGUUCUUAGUCGAAGGAAAUUCUUGUUUAGGCGUUCUGUCUCCUCGAAUUCUCCCUUGAGGAAUACACAAACCUGGCACUCACAAGAUAAUAUAAUGUGAUCUACGCAACCCCAUGAACUAAAUUAAGAUGGAACGGAGAAAAUUAGUAUAACAUUUAAGUGACAAUUACAGAAAUUUUAACUCCGACAAAGUGAAAUUUCAAAUUGCAUCUAAUUCAUAGAAGAAAUCAUCUAUCAAAAUGUGAAAGCUCUACACAUUCUAUGUUAUUUCCUGUGUGAAGUUUUUGGCCUUGGAAUAUUUGACAGCUGAAAUUGCUGCUUUAAACAAAAUCUAUAUGAAAAAAAAAAAAAGAAGAACAGAAUACAAGCCUAUAAAUUGUAGUAGUCAUUUAUGUUUUUCUUGGUGAAUCUUUAAACCUAGAAAAUAACUGUUAAGUGGAUUGUGCUUAGUCUAUAAAUAGCAAUACUCACAAAAACUCCAAUAGAACUUGAUAGAGUUGGACUUUCAACCUUUAUUGAUGUGUGGAAUAAUCAACACAAUAUAUGUUAAGAUUCUGAAGAUAAGCAUGCAAGUAAUCGAUGGUCUCGUUUGGCAUCAUUGAACUCUUUUUGGUUUUUCUACAACACUAAUUCUAUACAAUAUGGUAGACUGGCAAAAAGACUUUCCUUUUGUUGUUAUGGUUGGUUAACUUAUAAUGCAUUCCGGCUAAGUGAUAGAUGACAACUUAAAUAAAAAAAAAAAAAAAAAAAGAAAGCAAAAAAAAAAAAAAAAAAAAAAAAAAAAAAAAAAAAAAAAAAAAAAAAAAAUUUGCUACCAAGCUUUUGUUUUUAGUUGCCAAACAAAUACCUUGGAUCCAAGGAAUGCAAGUAAUCCACCAUUCCCUCCACAUUUUUUUUGGGUUAAUUGCAUACAAGUCCCUGCAAACAUAGUGAAUUGCAAAUAUAUUCCUACAAAAUUCAAUUUUCAUAUAGUAUCCCUAUAAAAGUUCUAAUAUUUUCAAAUAUGUUCAUGCUGUUAGAAUCCGUUAGAAAAAUUUAGUUAGCCAUAGAUUAAAUACUUAACACUAGUUAGUUUAUAAGAUAACUUGACAUUUUUACCCCUCUUAUUUUAAGGGACAUAUUUGUGAUGGUAAAAUUGAUAUUUCACUUAUUUGUUGUUAAAAUAUAAACAGUUCUCUAACAGUAACAAACCAGAGGGAUAUAUUUGAAAAUAUUAGAACUUUUAUAAGGACAACAUACGAAAGUUGAACUUUGUUUGGAUAUAUUCGCAACUCACUAUAUUUGCAGGAACCUAUAUGCAUUUAACCCUUUUUUUUUUUGUAGAAAUUCUAUUAAGACAAAAAAAGGAAAAGACAACGAUGCCAAACAAGGCUAAAAUUAAAUCUAAUAAAAGGACUAUAAAGCAUGUAAAUUUCCUGAUAAGAAAACAGUUUUUCUGGAGCAAAUUUAAUGGUCCAAUUGGCCCAACAUGCAGACUAUAAUUAGUGCCACCCUUGAUGGAAGAACAUGUACACCUAGAAGAACAUGGAAUAUGACAGGCUUUAAGUUUCUCAUUUUCUUUUGCUUUGAGCAGCAUUAAGGCCAGGUGGCCUUUUGCUAGGAAUCAUUAUUAACAUGCGGCUAGAAAUGAAAAUGAUGCGUGAUGCGCUUUCACUUUCAUUGUUUUCAAUAAUAGUUUGGUAUCCCUUUCUCCAAAGUCAUUGCUUUGAUAUUGAAAGCACAUAAAAAAAUCCAAAAGCACUUCAAAAUUCUAUUCUAAUGGUACAGAAUAGCGAUAUGUUUAUCAGAGAAGCAUUAAGGCGAAAUAUUAGUAAAACUCUAAUAGCACAGAACAGCGGCGGCGGAAAUAUUACCAGAGAAACAUUACGGCGAAUACUUCCUGAUAAAGGUCUCCACCAUUGCUUAUAGCAUUAGAAGAGCAGAGCUUCAAAGUGUUUCAAACUUUUAAAGGCUUCUAAAGUAUUAAAGAGGUUGUAUUUGAAGAAACCGAUUCCAAAAUGGGGCUUAGUGCUAGUUUAGGAUUACAGUGUUUAAACAUACCAAUCUCAAACAUGUUUUGAGAGGAGAAACUCCAUCACUCCCGUAUGAAAUUGUGGUAUGUGUUAAAUUAUAUAAAACAACCGUUGUUCUCCGCAAACCUAAGCUAUCGAACAACGGUAUUUCCAAGCCUCAUGCUCUAAUACUAUGUUAAAUUAUAUGAAACAGCCAUUGUUCUCCAAAAACUUGAAGUUGUCGAAGAACGGUGCUUUCAAUAUUUAUAUUUUAUAUGCAAUAGUGCAAACCGUCAUCAGUUGCCCGCCAGUUUAUAAAAUUAGAGAAAAAUUUCAAAAUGCUUUUACAUUUCUUUUAGUCUUUAAAAUAUAAAAAUAAAUAUAUUUUACAACACAAUUUCAAAUUAAGCCUUACUUAUCGUCACAUCGCAAUCACGGCCCACUCUAUAAUUUAUCCAACUACAACCAACUUGUUGGACCUACGUAGGAUUCAAUGACACUAGACACAACCUCACAGAAAACGACGAGGACUACGUACCAACUCUUCAAGGAAUUUUUUUUAUCUAAUCCCAUUAAUGGUUAGAAAACAUGGUUUGGUCCCCACUGACACUUGGAAACGCACCAAGCACACAAAAAGCGAAGCUUGAAGGGAAAGUUUAAUUCACCAUAAUAAUUUAAAUGACGACAAAAAUAGUUAAAUUUAUUUUAAAAUGAAAAAUUAUUUAUUAAAAAUGAAUUAAAUUUUAAUUAAAUUAUAUUCUAUUUCCUGUUUGAUAAAAGAUAAGGUUUUACUUUUAGUAUAUUUAUGUUUUCUCAUCUAUUUUUAGUUAUAUAUUAUAAGAUAUGGGUUGGGUUAAAUAUACCAGAUGUCAUUUAAUUGGUGGAUAAACAUCUUACCUUAAAAUCUUUAUUUUCUCAAAUCCAAAUAUUUAAAUUUUUAUAAUUAACCACCUAAAUAUAUAUUUUCCCAAUUUAAAGCAACUAAUAUUAACAAAACGAUUAAGAAAUAAUAAAUAACGAAUGCAACCAAAAUGAAAGAAAGAUCUUUUUAACAUUAAAAAUAGUAACCGACUGUCCCUAACAUAAGUGACAAAAGACUUGAUGGUUGAUACCCGAGAUCUCAAGUUCGAAUCUUAUUUGAUUCACAUUUUCAGCUAAGUUUAUUUCUAAAAGAAAUAAACAAAACAGAUAGCAUGCUACCUCUCUCUUUAAAAAAUAAUAAUAAUAAAAAUAGUAAUAUAAUUAUUUAGCCAGUCAACUUAAGUUAGUAACAUAAACCGACAAAAGUUAAGAUUUUUUCGUGCAUUUAAAUCAUAAGAUAUGUGAUAGACUAUUUUGGAAUAAUCAACUACAUACCCUUCAAAAGUACACAAAUGUGACCCUUUAAAAGUUUCCGAUUUUUCUAUCUACCCCUAAAGAGUUUACGUGAUAAAGCCUACCCUGCUAAAGUUUCUUAACUUCAUCAUCAGCCUAACCUCAGGUUAAAAUGGACGGUAGAUUUUUAAAAAAAAUAAAUUUCAUCAUUUAAAUGUUUUCCAAAUUAUAUUUAAAUAAAUAUUUUUUAUAAAACUAAUGACUAAGGAUAUAUUUAAAAGAUAUGGGAACUUUAGAAGAGCAGAUUUUAUAAAACACAAAUACAAAGAGGUAUGUAGGAAAUUGUCCCUAAUAUUAUUUUUUAAGGAAUAAUUGCCUAUUGCCUAUAUACCCUUCAAUGGUCAAUACUUUUGAAAUAUCUUAUUUAUUCCUUCUUUCUUUUUGUUUCAAAUAUACUCCUCGUAUAUUUCUCCAUUAUUCAAAAAUAUUCCCGCUACUAGUACCCGUUAAGUCAUCUCGUGUUAAAUCUGAAUUAAAUUUCUACCGGAGUUAAAAAAAAGUCAAAAUACCUCUUUUGCCUCUAACUUAAAGGUAAAAUAAGAAAAGUUGAUGACGGUAAAACAAUAUAUUUGAAAACCAACGAGUCAAAAUACUUCUUUUUGCUCCUAACUUAAGGGCAAGUAAAAGAAGUUGGAGAUAAUAAAAAGUAUAUUUGAAAAGGAUAAAUUAGUAAUUUCAUAAAGAUAAUAGUUAUUUCUAACUCUAGAGAUAUAUAUUUGAAAGAAUUUAAAAUGUUAAAAAGAUAUUUUUAAUAUUAGCCUUUUAAACAGGAUAAAUAAGAAAUCGGAAAUUUUUCAAAAAUAUAUAAGUUAAGAAUGUUUUGAGACGAAAGAAGAGAGAGAGAGAGAGCAGCUCACUUCCAUGAGGAACCUAGGCUGCAUGGCCUUGUACCGGCUGUUGGCGUCGGCCUCCGCGGCGUACCACCCGAGCGCCGCCCUCGUGGGCGCCGCCGCAGGGUCGAACACCGUCCCAGCCCUCCUCCCACGCCCUCCGUGACACCUCCUCCUCCGCCACCGUCGGCGGAGGCAAGUCCCCGAACCCCGCCACCUUUUUCUCCAUCGCUGCCGCAACUUCGUCCCCCAUUGCUUCCAUGUCUCUCGCAUACCGACCCGGAUAGCUCUGCUCAAACAACACCAACAAUAACGAAACACACACAAAAUAAAUACAUAAAUAAAUAAAAUUUUAAAAAAUUUACAAUCAAAUCAAAUCUAUGCAUAUCCGCACGUGCGUACAUGUUAAUUUUACUUAAAUUUAUUUAUAAAUUCAUUAAAAUUAAUAAGUUUAAUUAAAUUUACAAUAAAUAAAAUUACAGUGAUUAACAGUAAAAACCAUAAUAAUAGUCAUUAAACUAAAUAAAUUUGUAACUUACAAAUAAUCCAAUUCUUUUUUUCUUAAAAAAAAAAAAAAGGAGUUUGAGAGAUUAAACGGCCUAUAGUUAAGAAGGUUUUAGACCAUUUUAUUUAAAAAAUUAUACAUUUACAUAUUUUACCUAAAAUUAUAUACUUUAUAUUUUAAUAAGUAAGUACUUACACUUGGUAUUCAAUUAAGGGGGUGUAAAUUCUACAUCCUAGACUUUGUGUGGCUAAGCCUAAAGCUUUAUCUACUAAUUUUAUCAAACUUUUAUUUUAAUAAAAGUUCAAAAAAAAAAUUUUAUGGGCCAUUGUGAAUGCAAUUAGUGUAUCAUUUGAAUGAUGAAAUUUAUAUAUAUUUUUUAGGCUAGCAGAAAAAUUUUCUAUAGUUAUUCGCUUUUUCACUUUUUCUUUCUUAUUUUUAAAAAUCUAUAUCAUGUCCCUAUAAAAUUUUAAAAAUAUUUUUUAAAAAUUAUGACAUUAAUGAAAAAGCUGAAAUGACCAAAUUAUCCUUACUUCUUUUAUAAAAAAUAAUUUUUUAAUAUAUUUAUAUUAUUUUAAAAUAUAUUUUCAGUAUAAAUUAUAAGAAAUAGAUGGGAUAGUAAAAAAACCUUGACAAAGAGAGACUAUAUAUAUCAACUUAAAAUUUUAUAAAAUAAAAUAUAAACUUUUAAAAGUUAUGAAAGAAAAGUAAAAAAAUAAUUAUAAGAUUCUCUAUAUUUUAGCCUAAUUUUUAAGUUAUAGAGUAAAAUGCAGCGUACGCAGGAGGGUUCAAAUUUAAUUUUAUAGCCUAGAAAACUUCAAAUAUUAUUCAUGUGGUUUUGUACUUUCUUACUUUAGUAUUCUGUAGUUUAAAAUGCAUCACUUUCGUAUCCUGUGUUUUCAUUUUUUUCUUUCUAUUAUUCCCUUCGUUAACUUUUCUAUUAAAUCAAUAAUAAAGUUUUUUUUGGAGAUAUAAGUAGCACGCUACCUGCUUCGUUUAUUUUAUUUAGAAAUAAGUUUAACUGGAAAUGUAAAUCAAUUAGAAUUCGAACUUGGAUUUCGGGUAUCAACCACCAAGCCCUUUGCCACUUGCUAUAAAAACGGUCGGUAAAUUAAUAAUAAAGUUAAAAUCACAGAAUACUAAAGUAAGAAUUUGGUAAACCACAGAAUAUUAAAGUGAAUAUUGAAUAAAUCAUUGGUCGGAUAUCUAAAGUUUUUUACAUAUUACUUAACGGAGAGUUUUAACAGAAAUGCUUAUGAAAAGAAAAAAAAAAAAAACAUAAAACCAUAAGGUCCUGUACUAAAAUGAUAUACUUUAAACUGUAGGUAUUAAAAGUGCGAAAUUACGGUAGUGGUAUUUUAAUUUUUGCUCUUUGUUUGUAAUUUAGUAUGUACCUUGUGGGUGAGCCACAUGAGGAGAAUAUCGUUGGUGGGCGCGAGGCGGACCCCGUCGUCGCCGCCCCCGACCCCGACCCCGAGUCGCUUAACCAGGUCGAGGAAAUCCAGGUACCUCCGCUUGGCCGAGACCAGAUACACGGUCUCGUACGCGAAGGGGUCCGCGAACAAGUCGGCGACGGAUUCCCACCUCGCCACCGUUCCCAACAUCUCGUCGCCGACUUCUCCCCCUCCUCCUUCGACGGCGCAGAUCUCGAGGUCGAACGGCUCCGACGGAUACCGGACGGCCCAGAUCUCGCGGCAGCGGUCCGCGGCGUAGUCCUCGUUCUCGUCGUCGAGGAUCAGAGGCCGGUCGAUCAGGAACCCGAAUCUCGACGCGCAGUAGUCGCGGUACCCGCGCUGAGAUUUGGAGAUUUUUUUUUCUUUUUUUAAUUAUCAAACAAAAAGAGAAACUGCUUGAAAUUUUUUACGAAAAAAAUAUAUAUAAACUUAUCUGCUCUGCAAGCCAUUUUAAUUCAAAUAACCUAAUUUUUAAAAUUUUUAAUUUUUAGUUCCUAAUCUUUUAUAAUAAUAUUAGAUUUAAAUUAUUUGAUAACUCGAUCGCUGCAGAGCAGAUAAGUUUAUAUAUAUUUUUUUCGUAAAAAAUUUCAAGCAGUUUCUCUUUUUGUUUGAUAAUUAAAAAAAGAAAAAAAAAUCUCCAAAUCUCAGCGCGGGUACCGCGACUACUGCGCGUCGAGAUUCGGGUUCCUGAUCGACCGGCCUCUGAUCCUCGACGACGAGAACGAGGACUACGCCGCGGACCGCUGCCGCGAGAUCUGGGCCGUCCGGUAUCCGUCGGAGCCGUUCGAUCUCGAGAUCUGCGCCGUCGAAGGAGGAGGGGGAGAAGUCGGCGACGAGAUGUUGGGAACGGUGGCGAGGUGGGAAUCCGUCGCCGACUUGUUCGCGGACCCCUUCGCGUACGAGACCGUGUAUCUGGUCUCGGCCAAGCGGAGGUACCUGGAUUUCCUCGACCUGGUUAAGCGACUCGGGGUCGGGGUCGGGGGCGGCGACGACGGGGUCCGCCUCGUGCCCACCAACGAUAUUCUCCUCAUGUGGCUCACCCACAAGGUAAAAUUAAUUAUAAAUAAACAAAGAGCAAAAAUUAAACUUUCUCAUUUUUAAUACCCUACAGUUUAAAGUAUACCAUUUUAGUACAGUACCUUAUGGUUUUAUGNAAAUUAAAUAAAUAAAAAUUUUAAAUUUUAAAUUUUAGAAAAAAUUUGAUAGUGAAAUCAAAUUAAAUAAAUGAGAGUUGAGAUAAAUUCUAUACACAUUUACUUUUUCUUUAAUUGGAACAUAAGUGACUUGAAAUGGAUUACAUUGUGUAUUGGUGCAAAAAAAAAAAAGAAAAAGAAAUUAGAUCUUCGGGAUGAAUGUAAUUGAUUUAAAUUCAAUUUUUUUUUUCUUUUAUUUUUAAUUAAUCAUCUAACUAGUAAAGAAAUUAGAAAGAAUACUUUUUAAAUAGAUAAGUUUUCUACGACAAAUUAUGGCAAAUUCGAUCUCAAAUCAUCGGAUUUACUUAUACUCAAAUCAUUUCAAAUCAUCACAAAUAAAUUUUUCGAAAAAAAAAAAUAAUACAUAGAAACUCUCUCUCUCAACUAUGUGCCAUUCUGAAAAAGCUCCCUCAACUAUUUGUUUUUUUUUUAAUUGAGACAUUCCAAAUUUUAAAUUUUUUAAAGUUUAAGUAAGUUUUGAAUUUGACAAAAUUUGUAACGUCCGAUAAGUGUAAAUACUCAAACAACUAUUCCAAUUACCAAGAAAAAAAAAAAAAGAAGAAAAGUUGCGUGGACCAUUUCAGAAUCGGUGGUCACCAUACAUUUUUUUAUACAAAUUAAUAAAAUUUUGUGACAGUGUUAAAAUUUGAGAAAAUUCUCUUAAAUUAAAGAAACGAUGAAUUGAAGCAAAUAAUUAAUUAAAUUUUCAAAAUCGUUGGAAUUGUGUGAUUUGGGGGAGGAGCUUUAAUUGCUUACGUGGUCGAGGCAGUGGCAGUGCCAAAUCCAGUGCACAUCCAACGGCGGCAGGAGCAUCGCGGCGGACCAGGACCCCGCCGCCGUCAGAUCCGCGAUCAACGGCAUCCACAGCUCCUCGUACCUGUGCACAAAUUAACCCUAGCCGAUCAAUCGGAGCCGUCGCAUCGUCGGCGGUUUCAAAUUAAUCCAACGGCGACGAUGAUGACGAUGAUGAUGAGAGAGAGAGAGAGAGGGGGGGAGGGGUAAGCGCACCGGCGAAGGGAGCGGCGGCGGAGGGGGAGGGGGAGAGGAGGAGCCGGCGCCGGGGCCGGCGGUGCCGGCGGGGCUGACGGCGGAGGAGNGGCGGCGCCGGCGCUGAGGUCGCUGCGGCGGCUGCGAGCGCGCGAGGAGUCGGAGAACGAGGAGGAGGCAGAGGAGGAGGAGUUCGGGGUGAUAUUCUCACCCCCCAUUUCGGGCUCCGUCGCGCCGCGGCUCCCGAGUGGGGGAUAGGUUGGUGCGCGAGAGUCGGUGGGCCGAGCAACAUAUAUGAUACAUAUACCGCACUAGAGUGAGUGAGGCCAAAUUAUCGCGUGCACCCGGUUUAUCCGUACAUCUCAUGCACCGUAAUGAAUAGGUUUGGCGAAAUUACACUUUUGAUCCUCACACAAUGCCCGGUUAACACUUUGGGCCUCAUUUAAUUUGCUGCAAUUUUUUACUCAAAUUUUUUAAAUUAUUACACUCAAAUCCUAUAAUUCAAUUUAGUUAGUUUAAUAUUGAUGCGCCGCAAAUAUAAAAAUGAUAUGACAUUUUAAUCGUUGUUGCAUAAUCUAUCGCAUUACUUUCAUAUAAGGACAUGGUAGUCAAGAUUUAGUUAAUUAAAUGGGAUUGUGGAACUUAUUUAUAACAAUUAAGAUAUGUUCAAGUAAAAAAUUAUUAAUAAUUUAAAGUUUGAAAAUGAAAGUCUCACACGCUUCAUAGUUUGAGAAUCAAAAGUAUAAUCUAGAAAUAGUUUAUUAAGGUUCGGUUUCUAUUUAAUGCUAUUACGUAAACUAAGCUAGAACACUAGAUAAGUAUUUAAUGCUAUUUAAUGCUUCUUCAUUUUCUGGUGAGACUGCAUAAAAUAUAUUUUAAUCGAUUUUUUAUGAUUUAUGCAGCAUAAUGUUGCAUACGAAAAUAAAUAAGGUAUUUUUUGAUAAUUUUUACGUCAAAUUUUAAACGGAACAUAAUGCAAUCGCUAUGCUAUCCUAAAAAGAGUCUAAAGCUAAGCUAGAACACUAAAUUGUUUUUAAAGUAUCAAGCAUUUGGUACUUUCACAUUACUUCUCAUGAUAAAAGUAUCAAAAUCAACGAUCGUGUUGUUAAACAUAUAAUUUAUAAUGCGUCAACUUUUCAAGAACAAAAUUUUAUAAUUUUACAAUAUUAUUUACUUAUUGUUCAGUUAGUCUCAAAAUUAAAAAUUUUCAAUGAAACAUAUAUUCGAGACUAAUAAAUUAUUGCAAAAGUAAUGCUAAAAUAUCACCUUAUUAAGAAGUUUGAGUAUCAAAGAUUAUAUUUAGCAGUAUCGAUCAUCCAUUUGGAUUAAAGGUGUCCGUAGAGUAGGUCGGGUCUGGUUAGUUAAUAUACUGUAUUCGUACACUAAAAAAGAGAGUAAAAAAAUAUAUAUAUAUCCUACCCAUUUAAUUUCGGAUUGGGUCCAAGUCUAGAUACUUACGAUAAUAAUAUACUCACCAGAUCUAUUUGAGCGAGUCUAGGUAGUGACUACCCGCAUACUAACCCACUUAAGACCAGAUACAUGUUGGAUACAGAUCGGGUCUAAAUCGGAUAUCGGUAUCCGUAUGCAUAGUUUUUCAUGCACUUUAUUAAAUAAUCUAUGUAUAAAUCAUAAAUUUCUCACUAUAAAAAACUUGCAUUCUAAUAAGUUGCACCUAGUCCAAUAAAAUUCGUUUAAUAGAAAUGAUUCGAUCAAUAAACGAAAUGGUUAGGAUUAAAAAAAUAAAUAGUAAAAUAAAAAAUAAAAAAAAUAAACAUAGUGACUGGGGUUUUACUAGGAUGCAAAUAUACAGAGAUAUAUAAGUCCUAUUAAAAUUGAUCCCUCAACUUCAAAUCUUCUUUUCUUUACUAUUGGGUAUUUUAGCAGGUCUAGGUCUAGGUUCAGAUCUGGAUCCAGAUUUAAAAACUCGUUUAUACCCUACCUAUUAAAAGGUCGGAUUCGGGUCGGGUCCAAGUUGGUUUAUGAGUAUAAAGUAUAUCCAUUCUUUAUCAAAUCUGGUUUGGGUCUGGAUAAAAUGAAAUAUUAGGUAUUUUGGACCGCUUUAAUUUGGAUAUGUACGUCAUAAUAGAGAAACGACAAAAAAAAAAAAAAAACAUAGCACACUACAACAAAAACGGUCUAUAGCGACACUUUUAAAUGUAGGUACAUGUCAAAAAAGUGCUGCUAGCUAAAAUUAUCGACAAUUUUAAAAAGUGUUGCUAUAUGUGGGGUCGCUAGGUAUAUAGUGACAAUUAAAGAGUGUCGCUAUAACCUAAAAGAGUGCUACUAAUUUACCAACACUUAUUUAAGCAUUUAGCAACCGCCGAAACUCUAUCUCGUUGGCUGCGGUAGCGGAGGAGGACGACAGGAAAGACUCUUCAUCUAGAAUUUCAGUGGAUUGAGUGAAGAAAGAAGAAAAGAUGGUAAUUGAUUUUUCUUUUUUUUUUCUUUUCUGUUUGUAAUCGGGCCAAAUAAACUGGGUGUGGUGAGUUGAGUAAAGUAAUCUUUUAUUUUUGGUUGGGUUGCGCUUUAUAUUUAGGCAUUAGUAGAUAUUUUUUUAAGUUUUAGUAUAAAUGGGACACUUACUCAAAAGUGUCCCAAACAUGUGUCCCUAUAACCUAAUUCUGUUGUAGUGGCAAGGGCUUAAUACUUCCAAAAUAUAUUCUAACAAAAUUCUAAUUUUAUUUUAAAUGUUUUAUUAUGCAAUUUACAAUAUUACCUUAGUAUCAACUCACCCUAAAAGCAAAUUCAAAAAUUCCAUAAAUGAUAUAAUUAUUAAGGGCUUGAAAUAAGAAUCUAAUGAGUCUAAUCAGAUUUAUGCAAUUUUAGAAAACGAUGCAUUAAAUAGCACCGAGCUAUCACCGCAAUAUUUGAAAAAAUUAUUUGAUUAAGACAGUUUGAAAUUGCCAUAAGGAAAGAGUCCAUUUUCAAGCAUCAAAAAUGUUUAAAAAUUUAAAAAUGCUUCUUCUCUUUUCCCCUAGGGUCUGUUUGUUUCAGACGAUUUAAACUCUCUAAUAAUUUUAAGAACUAUAAUCCUAAUUGAGUUUCAAUAUGGUAGGAGUAUUUUUCUUUGAUUCAUAUCUUAGAAUACCUAGGAUUGUACCAUGCUCAUGUUUAGUUCAACAUGGUAAAUAACUGGAUUGUACUGAUGAGUUUACUAUAAUAUCCUUAUUAAUAAAGAUUGACAUAUUAUUUAUUAUUUCAUACGAAGUAGGACGAAAAAUAUUAUACUUAAAAAGAUAUUUUAGUCUAAUAAAAUCAAUUUCUAUGGAAAAAAAAAAAAAAAAAAUCAAGAGAGGGAGCGUGUUUUGAAUUCUCACUUUUUAUGGGAUUAAAAGAUGUUGUGAAAAUUAUAAAUUUCUGCCGGUUCAAAUUUCGGUGAUUAACCAACCAACAAUAGAAAUCAAUCAUUCUUAACCUUCAUUCCUAGAAAAUUUUAAAAAAUAUUGCGAAAUAGACAUGCCCUUAAGGCGUGUUUGGUUCGGAUUAUCCUGCCAAAACUACGAGCAAUCCUGUCAGGAUUACUGCGUUUGGUUUAUCCAAUCUGUAAUCUAGUCGGUAAUAUAGCAUUACAAAUAGUGCAAGAUUACUUCGAAAAAUAUCAUAGAUAGGAGGGUGCAUGUAUCUCGUAUUAUUGAUGUUGGACUAUUUUGCAUGUUAUAUAAAAUUACAAAUUUAUCCUCCAACAUUCCCAAACUCUUUCAAUACGUAAUUUUUAAAAUUUUAAAUUAUCAAAUUUUAAAUUUUAAAAUUUAAAUUUUAAAUUUAAAUUUUAAAAUUUUAAAAUUUUAAAAUUUAAAAUUUAAAUUCUUUAUAUUUAUUAUCAAUAGUAUAAUAGCCAAACACUCUCUCUCUCUCUCUCUCUCUCUCUCUCUCUCAAUAUAUAUAUAUAUAUAUAUAUAUAUAUAUAAUCCGACUAUGGUGCUAUCGAAGCACCACGCGAGUGGUGCUUCUAAUUAUUUAUCCCUCGGAUCAACUCUUUGACCAUUUUUAGCCCUUUAUUUAUUUAAUAUUAUUCCCUUAUGAGGACCUUCUAGGGAACCAUUAAAUCCUAGAGGCUGCGUUUGGUUUAGGUAUAAGUAAGAACUGCUUGUUCCAAGGAUAGAUACAAGUUCAGUUAUAAGCAGGAACUAGACCAAUUUUACGUUUGGAUGAAAAUUGAGUUAUUCCUAGGAAUAAGGUAAAUAGCGUUUGGAUAGUUAAAUUGGAACAAGAGAAAUAGAAGUUAUAAUUUGAAAUUAACAUUAUAUUAUCUAAUUAAUUAACAUCAAAAUAUUACUUAAAAAUAAAUAAUAAAUAAAUUAUUAAUAAAUAAUUAUAAAUAAUAAUAAUUAUUAAUUAUUAAUUAUUAAUUAUUAUCAUUAAUUAAUUAUUAUUAAUUAUUUAUAAUUAUUUAUAAGUAAUAAAUUAAUUAAUUAUUAAUAAAUUAUUAAUAAUUAUUACUUAAUUAAUUAAUUAUGUAAUUAACUAUUAAUAAUUAUUUAUAAGUAAUAAAUUAAUUAAAUAAUAAUUAUCUAAUUAUUAAUAAUAAUUAUAAAUCAUUAUUAUAAAUAAUAAUAAUUAUUUAAUUAUUAAUUAUUAAUAUAAAAUUUAACUAAUAAUAUAGAUUAUUAAUUAAUCAAAAUAAUUAUUUUAUUUUAUUAUUAAUUCUAAUUAAAUAAUAAUAUUAAUAAUUAAUUAUAAGUAAUAAAUUAAUUAAUAAUAAUUAUCUAAUUAUUAAUAAUUAAAUUAAUAAUAAUAAAUUAAUAUAAUUAUUUAAUUAAUAAUUAUUAAUAAAUAAUAAUUAUUAAAUUAAUAAUUAUUCUUAUCUAAUUAUAAAUAAAUAAUUAAUUAAUUAUUUAUUAUUAAGCAAUAGAUAAUAAUUCAAAUAUAUUAAUUAGAUUAAUAAUAAUUUAACUAUCAUUAAAAUUUAAAUUUAUAUUAAUUAACCUUGUUCUUAUUCGGGAACAAGCUUGUUCCAGAAAAGGUGGACACAGCAGUUCCAGCUAAUUCAGUCUUAAUAACCAGCUAGCUCUAGAAACCAGGAACUACUGUUCUCGUUACCGAACGUUGCGUUUGGAACAAGGGGGAACAAGGGCUUAUUCUCCCCCCUUGUUCCCGAACCAGAACACUACCAGAGAGACUACUAUCACUUGAAUUCUAUAAUUCAUGAUCUCGGGGCCAAAAAGUCAGAAUUAUCAAUUCUUUUAUGCUUUCGGAAGUAUAGUAGCUUUACAUUGUAUAUAUAUAGAGAGUACGGCUAUGGUGCUUUUAAAAGCACGAAGCACUUAGUGGUUGUAAGUUUUUCACCGUUAGAUCCAUCUCUUUGACCAAUUUUACUUCUUAGAUCAUACUAUUUCACCAACCACACACUCAACUUUAGGGACUAUUAUUGUCCUAAUCCUACAAAUUUUCAUCCAAAGGCUGAAAAAUGUAGAAACACUAAUGACUUGGUAUAUGUAUACAUAUAAUUGAGCACAUAUACUUUUAAAAGCAACAAAUCAUUGGUGAUUGUAGAUUUUCGGCAUUGGAUGAAGAUUCAUAGGAUUAGAAUGAUAGUAAUUCCUUAGGAUUGAGUAGGUGCUUGGUGGAAUAGUAUGAUAUAAGGGCUAGAAUUGUUCAAAGGAAUAGAUCUAACGGUUGAAACCUACGAGCACCAAGUGUUUUUGGUGCUUUUAAAGCACCAUAGCAACUCUUUAUAUAUAUAUAUUAUUUUAUAUAAUUUUUUAUAUAUAAUAUAAAAUGAUAAAUAUUUUGGCUUUUUAAUGUAUGCAUAUAAAUUUUUUUGAACAAUAUAAAUAAAUUAUGUCUGGUGAAAAAUAUUUUUUAAAAAAUAUAUAAACUAUUAACAAAAGUUUUAUUAAUUUUCAUUCAUGUGAAAAAUAUAAUAAUAUUUUAAUAAAGUUGAUAAUUUAUAUAUGAUAAAUAUAGAGUCCGGCUGCUAUACUAUCAGUAACACGGAGACUUCCGUGCUACAAAAUUGUUUUUAACGAUGUGGGUUCCAAAUCGAUGAUCGGCUCUCUUAGACUUGAUCUACACUAUCGAAAACAUUUGAAAACUAAAUUUCAUAAUUUUUUGACAUCAUUUAGCUAUCAAAUAAGUAGUUUAAAGUUAAACGGCUAAAAAUAAAAAUCUCAUAAAAAAUAAUGAUAAAAAAUUUGAAUAUAAAAUUAGAGGUAUUGAUCUUACUCAUAUAUAAUGAAAAAAAAAAAUUAUAAAAAUUUCAUCAGAUUUGAAUUAUUUUAUACCAUUAAAUUCACAAACGCAUUAUAUCGAUCAUUAAAAUUGUCAAUUUUGAAACAUUUUGAUCACUAGCCAAAUGAUGUCGAAAAAUUAUGAAAUUUAGUUUUUAAAUACUUUCAAUACUUUCAAUAGUAUUGAUAAAGUCUUGCGGAGCUGAUUGUUGAUUUAGAAGCCGCAUAAUUGAAAAUAACUUGGUAGCAUGGAGGCAUCCGAGUUACUUAUUGUAGCCGGCUACCUCCAAUUAUUAUAAUGAUAAUAUUAUAUUUUAUUAAUGGUGCUCAUAUCGUACUGGUAUUUUAAUUUUUUUGAAACCGUUAAAUCGUCCUGUCCGAGUAGGGCCGUGUUCUGUGUUCUGUGUUCAUAUAUUGCUGCGAUUUCAAUAGGUACGAAUACUCGAAAUUUUAUCUGAACCCAAAUACGAACGGAACGAAUUUAUCCGAUGUUAAAUGGAUAUGAUUUCGGAUAUGAAUAUCAAAAAUAAAAAACCCGACGGAUAAGGGUACAGAUAUGGAUUUUGACUAUACCUGACCCAAUCCGAUUCGAACCCAAAUUUAUUUUACAUUAUAUAUGAUAUGUAUAUAAAAAUUUGAUGUUAUAUUUGAAUUUGUAUUUUAAAAAUUUAGAUUUAAUGUAAUAUAUUUUGAAAUAUUGAAAAGAGGAAUAAUUAUUUCGGGUUCGGAUUUUUAUAUUCGAAUUUGGUUCAGAUUUCGAGUUUUUAGUUGGAUUCGGUUUUGGAUAAUUGGAUAUGGAUUUUUGAAAUCCAGUAGGUUUGGGUUUGGAUUUCGGGUUCAUAUUCAAGUUCGGAUUUUUAAAAUCUGCCCCGAAUCCGACCCGUUGACAUCCCUAGUGCCGCUUAGGUAUGUAGGGUUUAAGGAAUACGGUGCAUGAGAUUUGAGGGUACACCGAGUGCACUGAAGAGUUCAACUUUGAAGAGAGUAGUUGUUUGGUUUGGCUUGCUUUUUUUGUACUGCACCGAUGACCUGUCGUCCCUUUUGUCGAGAAUGGAGUGAUUCACCCUCAAAGGUAUAAAGUCGUUACUUCAUGAUAUCCGUCAGAUCAUGAUCAGACGCUCCGUAUUCUGCAGCUUUUAACUCUGCGAUGCUGUACAACUAAGGGUGCAAACGGAUUGUCGGUGGCGGAGUUUCCGACCUGAUAAGUCUAAACAAAUCCGCUCCGCCAGUUUGCACAGAAGUGGGGUGAAAGUGGGAAGGGAAAAGUAAUUUUGGGUGAAAACAGACCACUUCCGUUGUUUGGUUUACUGUAAUUUUAUUAUACCCGAAAGUCUAAUUCAUCCAAAAUAAUGAAAUUGACUUCUCCCUUCCAUAGGGCGAAGUCAAUUUCGGUGAGGUGAAAGGAGGCAAGAGUGAAAAUUAAUGUGUUAGGGUUACCCUCUUCUCUACCCUUUCCUCUCCGAGUUUCAAACCCAAUUCCAAAUAUAUUCAAUUGUGGAAAUAAUUAAAUUUUUUUAUUUUGAUUGUAUGUCUAAAAUAUGAUCAAAUUUGGUUAGGUAAGUUUUAAUAUAUUUUUUGUUUAAUUUGUAUAUUUAUAAAAUAAUGAAAAAUGAAUUUGUUAAAUGUUAAUAAUUUUUUAACUUUAGGAUUUUAUUUGUUGUAUUAUUAUAAUUUAUAUGCAAACAAAUAAUCAAAUUUUUAAAAAUUUUAUUUUAUAAUCAUACAUAUAUAUAAUUAUAUACAUAUAUAAUUAUAUUAAUUUUUAUUUAUUAUAAUUUAUUAUUCACUAAGUUACAAAAUAGACAAUGAUAUCACUUCGGAGGUAAGUAUACCGGGGGUGAAGAGCUACACUUUUUACGUCAUCUACUUCCAACCAAACAAAUAACAGAACUCGCAGAACUGCACUUCCACAGUUAAAACAAACAGCGGAAGCGAAUUAAUUUUCACCCCAACUCCACUUCCAACCCAAGUCUACUUACGUUGAAACAAACAUGCCCCAAGCCCCGCAACGAAUCUGUCCCGAAUAAAUAUGUAACUUAUAAAAUAAAUUUUUUAUAUAUUAGUUGAGUUUUAAAUAAUUUUUUUUUCCUAAAACAAAUAUAAUUUGAAAAAAAUUGCUUUCACUAUAUUUUUAUUAUUUUUAAAAUUAUAUUUUGAUUAAAAUAAUAAAAUUUGAUUAUAUUUAAUUAAAUUUAAAUAAAAAGUAAAAAAAUAUGGAUUUCGGUGCAGGUUCUAGAAGUCGGCCGCAGGUGGAUUUUUAGGUGGGGCGGGCGGGUUAUGGAACAUAUAUUUUACCCUAUCACGGAGGAGGGGCGGAUUCGUUGUUGGCGGAUCGAUAGGCGAGGCAGGUCAGGUCCUCUAGCCUUAGAUCCACCCUAUUUGCACCCCCAUGUAAAUCUUUUUUUCUUUUUUGAAUAUAGAAUAAAACAAAACUUUAAUUUGCCAGUGCGUUUUCUUUUUAUGAUCAUAUAAUUUAAAAAUAGUUUAAUUGCACUUUUAGUCCUCAAGCUUUAAUUAGCAUGAUAUUUAAGUCCCCAAAUUAAAACUUUAACUUUUUUCAUAAUUUUGGGCUUAUACUUUUUAAAUUAUCGUAAUUAAAUUUUAUAAUUCAAUUUAUUUGACUAGAUACUGAUUUAUCACUAAUAUGGUAGUGGUGUCGCAUUUUAAUAAUUACCACCUUAUCAGUUAAGGAGUGGCGAUGCAGUGUUUGGCCCACGCAAGACUGUUCGUCAAACGAUGUUAAUAGGCCAAAAUAUAAAGUGCCAACCCUUGUGUUAGUGAUAUUGCCUGGUAGAGUAAUAUACUUAUAAAUAAAUUUUAAACUAAAUUAUAAAAAACACUUUUAUAAAUGCUUAUUUUUUUAUUUUUUCUUUUUAACUUUUAAAAACUUAUAUUUUAUCCUCUUAAUAUUUUAAAUUAUUAUAUUUAGUCUCUCUCGGUCAGGAUUUCAUCGCUAUUCUAUUCAUUUUUUAUAAUUUAUACCGAAAGUGUUCUUCAAUACAUCAAAAAAAAAAAUUAUAGAAAAAAUAAGUGCAAUUUGGUCAUUCUGCCCUCUCUAUUAACACCGUACCCUUCUGAAAAUAUUUAUGAAACUUUUAAGGGACAAAAUAUAAAUUUUUAAAAGUCAAGAAGAAAAAGUAAAAAUGCAGAUGUUUAUAAAAAAAUUUUUUGUAUUUUAACCUAAAUUUUAUAACACUUUAUAAAUUAGUAUAAGUUGUGGGAAUUGAGCUAGAAUACUUUUAGAAGCACCAACCUCUUGGUGCUUCUAAGUUUCUACCCCUUGGAUCUAAUCCUUAAUUACUAAUAGCCCUUGGAUCAAACACUAUUCCGCCUACCACCACCUACUACCAUCGUCUCAAUCCUAUAUCUUUCCAUUCAAAGACAGAAAAACUCAAAAGCAUCACUCUCUUGGUGCUUUUGAAAGUAUUGUAGCUCAACUCUAAGUUAUGAUAUUUAAUUAGUAAAGAAACAUAAAUUACAAAGAAAUAAGAAUGGCUUAUAAUUUAUUACAGUUCACUCAACCAUCAAGUUAUGUAAUUCAUAAAAUAUUAAAAAAUUUGUUCAUAGUAAGUAAAGUAUUUUUGGUGCUAGAUGUGCUUCUCAAACACUCAAGUUUCCACCUGUCCUUUAAUUAGCCCAACUUCCUGCCGUCAGCAGCUAGGUCAGUCAGCUAUUAGAUCCAUUCGGACAUGACAGCAAAGCAUUAUCUUUUACACCUAACCCCCAUGAGAUUAUUCCACAGAAAGCUAUGCGAGUUGAAUUGUCAUGCUAUAAUCUAUAACUAACUAGUUAAGAAACCCGCGUAAAAUUACUAUUAUAAAUAAUUAUUAUCUCUCCAAAUUAUUCUGUAACGAAUAGAAAUAUAUAGAGUAAAAAUAUGGCAAAGUGUAUGGAAAAAUCUACAGCACAGAGGAGAAAAAAAAAAGGAAGAAAAUGAAAUAGUUAAUUACAAAAUUUCACCAUUCAUAACUUUAUAGUAAGUUCAUAGUAAGUGCUAAGCAUAUUCAUUAACUUUAUAGUAAGUAACCUACUGUCUAUAGUGCAAGUGGCAAAGGGCUUGCUGGUUGGUACCCAAGAUCUCAAGUUCGAAUCCUAGUUGAUUCACAUUUUCAGUUAACUUUAUUUCUAAAAGAAAUAAACGAAGCGGAUAGAAUGCUACCUUUCUCUCUCUCAAAAAAAAGUAACUUUACAGUAAGUGAAAAGCAAGAACCAAAAUUGUAGAUCAAUAUAUAUAGUUCAUAAAUUGAUUAAACAAAUAGGGGAAAAAGGAGAAGAUUAGAAAGAAUAUAGUAAACAUGGUAAAAAGAUCAAUAGCUUUAGUAAGGAGAACUGUAGAAACAUCAGCAACAACACCAGUAAUAAAAUCAGCAGGAAACAAAAUUGAAAACCAUAAAUAAUAACAUCAUCAAUACAUAUAAUAAAAGGCGAACCUAAACUCGCCACGCGUCGUCUCCCCAGCGACCCCCUUCCCUGCUCAGCUCUGCCCGCUUCCUUCGCUGGCGGCGAGUGGGGUCACGUGCCUCCCGCCCCGCGUCUCUCCUCUCGGUGGGGCCAGAUCCGCUGCCCUCCUCUCUCCGAUCCCUCCUCUGUCCAAUCCGGGCCCCACUGCUCCCGUGUCAGGUGUUUGUCGCGGCCAUAGUCCCCCACCCACCCCGCACAUGGACGGCCCCUCGGGAAUUCUCUCUCUCUCUCUCUCCUUUCUUCUGCUCCCGUCUCUCCCCUUUCUCUCUCUGUUCUCUUGUCUCUCUCUCUCUAGCGCGCGCGGGGGCGGCGGGUCGUGGCGCGCCCCCGAGUUCUCUCUCUCUCUCUCCUCUCUCCUAUCUCUACUCUCUCUCCCCUUCCUCCACCACCCCCGGCCUUCUCUCUCUGUUCCCCUCCUUUUCCUCUCCCCCUCUCCCUCCCCGGCCUCUCUCCCCUCAUCUCUCUCCCUCCCCGCCUCCGCUUCUCUCUCUUCUCCCGCUUCCUCCCCUCUGGCGCGCCGGCGAAGUUCGCGGGCCGGGGCGGGUCGGGCGGCGGGCGGGGGACGUGGAGCGCGAGCGGGCGCUGGUGCGGAUACGCGGGCGAUGGGCGCGAGCGAGCGCCGGCUCGGAGACGUAGACGCAAGCGGCGCGCGGGGCGCGCGAGGGUGCGGGUGCACCGCUGGCUCAUUCACGAGGUCCACAAGGCUGAAGUGCCUCGUGGACCACAUGAGAGGGAGGUCCACGGUGGACCUCCCUCUCAUUCUCUGUAUAUAUAUAUAUAUAUAUAUAUAAUUUUAUUUAUUAAAAAUAUAUUUAUUUAUUAUAUAUAGUAUUUUAUUUUUAUAUAGAUAUAUUAUUAUAUAAUAAAAUAUAAAUUUUAAUUUUAUACUAUUAAGCAUUUAGAUAUAAAUUGUAUAUUAAAAAAUAAAAAAAAAGAUUAAUGCCGUUUAAGUUAAUUUUUAAUUUUUUUCUUCUUUUCUUUAAAAUCUAAUCUAAUUUUUCAUUUUUUAAUAUAAAAAUUUAAAAUAUGUAAAUAAUUUUUAAAUAGAUUAGAUUAUUUGUAUUAAAUAUAAAUUUUAAUUUUAUAAUAUUAAGCAUUUAUAUAUAGAUUGUAUACUAAAAAAGAAUUAAUUACAUUUAAGUUAAUUUUAUAUUUUAUAAAAUUUAGUUGCGAGAAUCACAUAAUAUAUAUUAUCUACGUUUGUAGAACUAAGUAAUACAUUAAUAUUUUUAAAGUCAAAAUAUCAUUGAUUGACUCAAAUUUAAUAUAUCAAAAAAUUAAAUAAUUAAAAUAAAAUUUUGAAAUAUUGGAUUUUACUUUUAGUCCUUCAAAUUAUGAGACGAAUAAUAUUUUAAUUUUUGAACUUUAAUAUAUUAUAAUUUAAACUAUAAGGCAUGUGACACUUUUUAUUCUCAAACUUAAUUAGUCAUAAUUUCUGUCUUACAAUAUGAGAUAUAUAAUUUUAGUUCUCAUCUUUUUGUUUUUUCGUACUGCAGUAAUCUUUUGUUUACCUGCUCAUUAUGGUUUCCUGAUACAUGAUUUCUUUUGAAAUGCUUUGUAAGUGUAAACCGGGUUGAUUUAUUGUUGAAGAAAAAGAAAUAUUAGCUAUAAAUAAUGUAGUACAAAUGAAAUAAGCUAAAAAACUAAAAUACACAAUCACAGAAGCAAACAAAAACAUAGGAUGUAAUCCAUAUAUCCAAAUGAAUCAAAAUGAUGCAUCUAACAUGUCACAGUAUCUCCUAAGAACAGCUGAACAAUAAGCAGUUCGUACGGUUUCUAUCUAAAUUUAAAGUUAAAUGUUUAAACUUUAAAAGUUUUUAUUAUUUAAAAUGUAAAGCAAGUUAUUCGAUGCAUAUAAAGCUUUAGAAUUUAAAAAGAUUAGGAUUCAACAAAAUUCUAUAUAAAAUCAUAUACCCAAAAUAUACAAACUGAAUUAAACUAAAAUAUAUUUUUUAAAAUUUAAAUUUUCAAAUUGUAAAUUUUAAAUUUCAGAAUUUAAACAAAAGAGAGUUAGAAAUUUAAAUUUUAAAUAAAUUAUAUAAAUUUUCUGCCGCGAAGCGCGAGCCUACACUAGUAUGUAUUAGAGCUCGAUCGGAUAUAGAUUUCACUCUAGGUAGAUAUGGUAGAGCAAAAAGCUGACUAGACCCUAAGUGUAUGUGUUAGGACUAGUCGAGCUUGGUUUGACUUUCACUCUAGGUAUAUGUGCUAGAGCAAAAGGUUGAUUAGACUCUAAGGUAUCGUUUGGUUCGGGGAUAAGCAAAAAGUGGUUAUUUUAGGGAUAUGUAUAAAUUGAGGUAUAAGCGGGGAUUAGAUCAAUUUUGCGUUUGGAUGAAAAUUGAGUUAUUCCUGAGAAUAAAAAAAAUAGCGUUUGGUUAGGUAAGAUGGAAUAAGAAGGAUAGUGGGUAGUUAUAAAUAAAAAAUAAUGAUAUUACCCUCUCAUUAUAUUUGAAUUUUAAAUUUUAAAUUUUAAAUUUAUGUUUUUAAUUUAAAUUUUUAACUUUUAAAUUUCAAAAUUUUAAAUGAAAAUUUAAAUUUUAAAUUUCAAACUUUAAAUUUAAGAUCAAAUGUAAAUUUGAAAAAUAUAAAAUUUUAAAUUUUAAAUUUUAAAAAAUUUAAAAUAUCAAAAUUUAAAUUUAAAAUUUAAAAUUUGGAAUUUAGAAUUAUGAACUUUAAUUUUGAGAUUACAAAUUUUAAAUUUUAAAAAUUUAAAUUUUAAAUUUAAAUAUUUAUAUUUUAAAUNUACAAAUGAAAUAAGCUAAAAAAUAAAACACACAAUCACAUAAGCAAGCAAAAACAUAGGAUGUAAUCCAUACAUCCAAAUGAAUCAAAAUGAUGCAUCUAACAUGUCACAGUAUCUCCAAAGAACAGCUGAAUAAGAAGCAGUUCGUACAGUUUUUACCAUUGUAUUACAGCAAUAGCUGCUUAUUCUUUAGUUGUUUUUUUAAUAUAAUUUCUUGACUUUUUUUUUUGUUAUUUUAUCUUAUUUUUUUUAUUUAGCCCUUUUUAUUUUUUUUUGUUCUAUGGUCCAUGUAAAAAAAAAUAAAAUUUUAAGUUUAAUUUUAUAAUUAAUUUUACGCUGAGCCCGGCUUCGGCUGCGGCGGCCUUCGGCGGGGUCGGCUUCGCCGCGGCGGCGGAGGUGGCAUACUCAACGGCACGGGAGAGGAGGAACCCGGCGGGGGAGGGGUGGCGCGGAGGUGGCAUACUCAAUGGCGCGGGAGAGGAGGAACCUGGCGGGGGAGGUGUGGCGCGGGAUAAUUGGGGCGCGGGGAGUCGCCGCAACCGCGGCAUGGCCGGGCAUCGGCGAUCUGCAGGCAGAGGAGCGGGUCGGAGGCGGGUUCCAACCAGCAUUUUUUUUUUUUAUCUUACAUUUUCUUUUUUUCUUUAUAAUCAAAUCUAAUUAUUUUCUCUUAUUAUAAAAAUUUUAAAUAUAUAAUAUUUCUUAUAUAAUUUUUUAAAAAUAAUUUAGAUUAUCUAUACAUAUAUUAAAUGGGGAUAGAAGCUUUCCUAAAUUUUGCAAUUUUACAAUUAAAAAGUUUAAAAUUUUAGGUUUCAAAUAUUAGAUUUUAAAUUUUAUACCCUUUUUCUCUCACUCACUCUCUCUCUCUCACUCACUCUCUCUCUAUCUAAAUUUAAAGUUAAAUAUUUAAAAUUUAAAAGUGUUUAUUAUUUAAAAUGUAAAGCGAGUUAUUCGAUGCAUAUAAAUCUUUAGAAUUUAGAAAAAUUAGGAUUCAACAAAACUCUAUAUAAAAUCAUAUAUNUAAAAUUUAAAUUUUCAAAUUGUAAAUUUUAAAUUUCAGAAUUUAAACAAAAGAGAGUUAGAAAUUUAAAUUUUAAAUAAAUUAUAUAAAUUUUCCGCCGCGAAGCGCGGGCCUACACUAGUUAGGAAUAAAGUGUACUAACAAAGCAUAAGCAUAGAAAAUCUAUAAAUCUCCAAUUUGCCCAUCAAAUAAACAUGAAAAUGCUUCAAUCUCAAAUGUCAAUAAAGAAAACUUAGAUACUCCGAAGUAAAAAACAUCUUUAAUCCAUAUAUCUACACAUAAAUAACAGCAAAUGGUUGUCUCCAUGGCAAACUGUCCCAACUUUGCAUAUCCGUCAUUGUACUACUAUAAAUUCAUCAGAAGAACAGAAGAGAAUGGAGCAAUUUUUGAUAAUACUGUAUAGUAUACCAUCCAAACUUUCACCAUAUAUCAUUAUAUUAUUUUGGUUUAAUCAGAAGAAGCAAACAAAAUAAAAAACUAUUCUCUAAAAAAAUAACUAAAAUCAUAAAUUCAAUUUGAAUAAUUCAGUUUUUCCCAAUUAAGAGGAAAGAAUCUUACUGUCUAGAAAACACCAUCAUCAUAGUCUACAGAAAGCAAAUAGAAAAAUNUUAUUUUCUAUUUACUUUGCAAUGCUAAUUUAUGAAUUUCUUUAUUGUUUAUGCUUUAUUAUAUUUGAUUUUUCAAUUUGAAUAAUUCAGUUUUUCCCAAUUAAGAGGAAAGAAUCUUACUGUCUAGAAAACACCAUCAUCAUAGUCUACAGAAAGCAAAUAGAAAAAUCAAAUAUAAUAAAGCAUAAACAAUAAAGAAAUUCAUAAAUUAGCAUUGCAAAGUAAAUAGAAAAUAAAGGUUACUUUUAUGGACAAACACUUUCAAACAGCUAAACAAUGAUGAGAAAAAAAAAAACCAAUCAAUCCAUUAUUCCAAAAGAAACUCACCACUUUUGUUCAAGAGAAGUUAUAUAUCAUGCAAAUCAAUGAUUACAAUGGUUUCCAUAAUAUAAUCGUCAAACAAAAAUCUUAUAACUAUUGACCAUACUUGGAAAAAAAUCACACUAAUUUGCAAUGCAAUUAAUAGAUGUAAUUGAAUAAAUUUUUGAGUAACUUAACAACCUCUGUUAUCUCAUUAUAUAAGUCAAAAAGUUUACAAUAACCGUAAUGUAACACACUGGACCUUUACAAAUUGCGAGGUUCGAGUGUUUAAUCUGUGUUUCGAAUUUUUCCAGAUAUUCCGGAGGGUCGUCGACAGUGUUCCAACCUAUGGCUCGCAUCCCGAGAAUCGAGGUUUAAAAUUUAGCACCAAACCUCUAAAGUGAAGAAAAUUGGGCUGCUCUCGAGUUUGACUCUGCAGAGCAGAGUACCUGUACAGUAUUGAGCUUGUACCGGAAUGGGAAGUGGUACCGGUACAGCAUCGGGUUUGUACCGGUAUCAAGAACAGUUUUCUGCCUACCCGAGGCUCGGAUUUGCGCGCACAGUGUUUGGUACCGGUACUCUUUUUCGUGUACCGGCACGCAGUGCAGACUGCGAACUGCUUAUUUUUUAGGGGUGUUUUUGAUAUUGUAACAAUUCUAUAUAACCCCCCGCAGCCUAGAGAGGGCUCUUUUGAGCCCUAAACCGUAGAGAGCCCAGGUAGGACUCCUCUACUUGGAUUUUCUCUCUUUUUUUGAGGAUUUUGCUUGGUUUAAUCUCCUCUCUUUGCUUCUCUUUACUUCAUGUUGGAUUUCCACCUAUGGAGAAGCUUUGAUUUCAUGAUUGGAGCUUGAUAGAGGAAGGAUCUUCAACCCUAGCUGGUUUCUUGUGUGGUUUGGAGCUUCUAAAGAGGUUAGUAUCUUGUUUCCCUCAUUUAAUCCAUGGUUUGGUGGAUUUUUCUUGAUGAAAUCCUAGAAUGUGAAAUUAGGGUUUAAAAUAGGGAUUUUUAAUUAGAGGCUUUUGGAACUCAAUUGAUUGAGUUAGAAUCUUUGUUUAGGUUGGAUUAGAAGGACUCUAACUCUCAUUUGGAGAUUGAGAGAGAUUUUCACCUUACAAUGUGAGUUUUUGCCUUUUUCUUGGGUUGAUUUAAGUUUGAUCGUAGAGUUGAUCGUUUGUUGCGUUUAACUCUCUUAAUAUUACCUUUAGGGUGCUAGGAGAGUAGUGGACACCUUCGUCAGCGCAAACGAAAGGUUGCGAGGAGUCCCAGUUGGUUUUACCUCACCGAAAAUGGGAGAAAUUUCUCUUAUGUCAUUUUUAAUUGUCGUAAAAUAGAAAUGCAUGCAUAUUCAUGCUAGAUAGAGCAUACGAGAUAUUUAGAAUGCUUAAAAUACAUGUGUUAUAUUUUAUGAAAAUUAUCUCUAUAUAGUAGAGAGAGAUAUAUGCAUUGUUAGCAUGCAUGAGAAUAGCAUUCUAUUAUAAGAUUUGGAAUCAUGUUUCGUUCAAAGCAAAUGACUUAUAUAGUAUGCUCUUGGACUUAGAAUACAUGUUUGACAUAGUGGACAAAAGUGCCAUAAAGGGGCACUCAACCUAGUAAAUGGUUAAACUGCAACAUGAUGACAUAGAAAUAGACCAUGAGAUCACUAGCUUUUAUACCAUAUUUUAGACAUGAUGACAUUGGACUUGAGACGGAUAUUUACGUUUGCUUGCCAUUGUGCUUAUUCGCACAUGCUUGUGAGAGUCGCUCUCCACAAGCCGGCACUCCGGAGAUAGCCAUCGCGACAUAAGCUCGCAUGUGCGAGAUUGGGCGCCGAAAUGGAAUGCCGUGGGGGAGGUCAUUCCUAGGGUGGGAAUGUUGACUACCACGGGGCCAUUAGGCAUAGCGCAAGCCGGACUACCCACAGGUAGGUCUUACAUGAUUGGAAUAUUAUUGGACGAAAAUGCAAAGUAAACAUUAGACAAGUUAGUCAACAAUGACAUUUUACUAGUAAUGCUUGUGGACAAUAUGUUGUUUAUACAUACACAUAUUCAUAUUAGAAUAACAUUUACACUUAUACAAAUUCAUGCUAAGUAGAGGCAUAGUAGUUUUACAAACUUUAUUCAUAUUUAGUGUACAUGUUAUUCAUUCUAUUUAAAUGUUAGAACUUACUACUUUUACUUUUUGUCUAGUGGUGCAUUUUACUGAGGUCAGUAAUUGCCCACUGUGAACUAUUGUUUAAUAGUUCUCACGCCCCUGUUUAUUGAUGUUUUUCAGAGCCAUCCGCACCGGUGGAGGCUUGGGAUCGUGGCAAAGGAAUCGCAUAGCUAGUUAGCGAGGAGUAUAUUUUUGCUAUUAGGUGAUUCUCUCUCUAUUUUUGUAUCUUGGUAGAGAGUGAGAGUUUUGUAUCCAUAUAUACAGACCACCAUUUUCAUAUGUUUAGCACUUGUAUUUGGGUUCCUUUUGUAUUACUUCAUGGUUUUAUGUUAGUGGAUUAGCUCUUUUAUUUACCUUCUUGUUCUAAAACCUAGUUGUUGUAUGCUCUGAUACUCUUAGAUGCUCAAUUAUUAUUGUUUUUAUUUAUCGCUUUGUUAUAUACGCUUUAUAUGUUGUAGGCAUAUAACGAGUCUCGCGCACCGGGCGGGAUUCCGCUGGGUCCCGGGGCGUAACAUGUAAACUUUCUUAAUGCAUUAGAUGUAGAAAAAGAAAUGAAACUUGAGAUUUAUAAACAAAGAAAAAGAGGUGGUUCUCUUUUUCUGUUUCUUUUUUUUUCUAUAAACUAACUUGCGAUGAAUAAUUCUGCAAAAACUUUAUUUGAAGGCUUGUCAAGAAUGAGUUUGAUACGUAGCUUUAGCCAUAUAACUUUUUGAAAAAGUUAAACCUAAAAAAUAAAUGACAGUAAUAAAUACAAAAAGGAGGUAAAAAAAAUAAAAAUACCUAAUCUAUAUAUUCGCAAGGGGCUGGCCCGAGCACGGCACGUGCCUUCCGAGCCUAAGGGCCAUACCGGGUUUGAGGCUAGAAAGCUUUGGCUUGGCACGACCCGGCCCGAAUUCGAAAUUAGGCCGAGCUGGGCCAAGCCGGCUCCUAGCCCGUUUCAGCUCCGCCAAUGUGGAUCGUGCCAGCCUGACACGUCCCACAUUACACCCCUAGAUAUAUAGAAAUUUAUCCCUAAAUACAUAUCAAUCUUUCACUUCUCUAAUUAUUAUUUUUAAAGAUGUUCUUUAGUUUGGGGAUUCACAUAUAUUUUUAUGUCAUGGUAGCAUUUUCCAACGACAAACAGUCGAGCAAAUUAUUUAUAAUUGUAAUAUUUUCUAUUGCACUAAAAUAAAUAAAAUAUAUUUAGCAAAUGUAUUUAUAGUUACAUCCAACUAUUCCACCCUUUAAUUCAAGUAUAUAAUAAAACUUAAGUAUUUAAUUAUAAAAAUAUGAAGAGACUAAAUUUUUUUUUUACAAAAAUGUAGGAACACCAAUCUGUAAUUAACCUACACAAAUGACUAGAACUAAACUCUUCUUAGGCACUAGAGGUGCCUAUACCACAACCAAUGAUCACCCUGGAAACAAUAGUAGCUGUAUCGAACAGCGACAUAAAAGUAUACUGGAUCGAAAAUAACUAAUUUAAUCAGUAGGCCAACCACGGGUCGAAUAAGUAAUAUUAGAAUAAUAUCAUAAAUAUUUAAUUAUUCUUUUAAAAUUUAUAUAUAUAUAUAUANGAUCAUAUUAUUCAACCAACUACCCACUCAACCUGACGGGACCAUUAUCAUUCUAGGUGGGAAUCACCAUCAUCCUAACCCCACAUCCCAGCAAUCAACGGUUAAAAAUUUAUGAGUACAAAGAGUCUAUACUCAUAAGAGUAUAGUAAGCUCAGCCUAUAUAUAUAUAUAUAUAUAUAUAUAAUUAGACUGGAAUACUAUUAAUAGUAAAAUCCUCUUUUUGCUAUCAAGUUUUUAGCCCUUGGAUGAAAAAUUGUAGGGUUAGAAUAAUAUUAGUCAGUUAGAGUUGAGUGGUCCCCCUAGGGUUGAGUGGUUCCCACUGGGUUAUAGUAUUUAAUCCAAUAGUUAGAAAUGAUGAAAAGAGUUAAUCCAAAGGCUAAAAAACUGGUAGCAACAAUGGAAUUUUGCUACUAAUAGUAGCCCAGUCCAACUCAUAUGGAAUUAGACUGGAAUACUAUUAGUAGUAAAACCUUCUUUUUGCUAUAAAGUUUUUAACCCUUGGAUGAAAAAUUGUAGGGUUAGGAUGAUAUUAGUCAGUUAGAGUUGAGUGGUCCCCCUAGGGUUGAGUGGUCCGUACUGGGUUAUAGUACUUAAUCCAAUGGUUAGAAAUAAUGAAAAGAGUUGAUCCAAAGGCUAAAAAACUGAUAGCAACAAUAGGAUUUUGCUACUAAUAGUAGCCCAGUCCAACUCUAUAUAUAUGUAUAGUCUUUUAUACUAUCUAUAGUACUAGAGCUCCGGUAUUAUAGUCUCGUUUUCAAUUUUAGGGUGUUCAAACCAACAAUCCACGCUGUUAAAACUAUUCUAGGGUAUCGUACAUAAUUAUUGAAUAUUGAUUUUUAGAACCAAUUAAGUAAAUAUCAGUUUUCAAGUUUCACCUUUUGUAAGACUGGUUUAUUAAAAUAGAAAAAAAAAUGGUUAAUUAAUUAAGUUGAUUUGAAGCAGUUAGAUUUUAAUAUGGCUUAAUAAAAAAAAAAUUUGAACAGUUUUGUUAAACCUGGGUCAAUUCACCUAUUCGAUAAUUGAAACGCUCGUUCAAAUGGUUCAAAAUGAUUUUUUGAUUUAUACGAUUUAAAAGAUUGAACCGAACCUUUUUAUAGACUAGGUCACGACUCAUUCAAAUCAAGUUCGAUUGAGCUCUAACACAUAUAUUUAGAGUUUAUUCAAAUUAAAUUCGACAAAUCUUAAUACAUAUAUUUGGGGCUUAGUCAAAUGCUCUAGCACAUGUUUCUGGAAUGAAACCCAAAUUAAAUCCAACUAAAUCUAGCACAUAUACCUAGAGCUUAGUCAAUUUUUUACUCUAGCACGUAUAUCUCGAGUGAAAGUCAAAUCAUACCAUUUGAACCCUCCAGUUUGACCCAAAUUUUGAAUCAUCAAAAAUCUAUUAAACAGUAGAAUUUAAGAGCAGUGUCAUUCAUACAUCCAAAAAGUAGUGCAAAUUUUACACUUUUUCUGAGGGCAUCUACACAAUCUUUUUGCUUUCUUAUUAUGAACAGAAUUUUCUUAAGUCGCUGCUCACGGCUAUUAGAGCAAUUUCUGAUUCAUCGCUUUUGUUGUAGGUGAAAGCUUUAUAUAUUUCUAAAAUUCAUGUCAAGGAAUCAUAAGAUGGGCUGAGAAUUAUUAUUAUUGUUAGAAUAAAAACAGAGCAGAUCUAUUGAUCGGUUGGGUACAAAAACACUGAAAAAAAUGGAGAAAGAUUUUAUUUUGCAAGCAUUAGCGACAAUGCAUUUAAUAACGAAAUAGAAAAAAAAAUAAUUUAACAAGUUAUCAGGAGUUUAAGGACGAUAAAUAAUAAUAAAAUAGGAAGAAUUAUUUAUAGUAAAAAAAGACUCCAAGACUUUUUUGUCCAUAGGUCAACGAAUUUAAUUUAUUAUAUCAAAUCCUACAAUAUAUAUAUAUAUAUUUAUUUAAAAAUAAACUUAGCUAAAAAUAUAAAUUAAUUAAAAUUUGAACUGUAAACUUUAAAUAUCAAUUGUUAAAUUUUUUAUCACUUACACUAGAUAUGGUCGGUAUUGGCACUAAUUUUGACUCACACUUGAGUGCAAAUGAAGGGCUGCAGACUUGCAGUGUAGAAUAGUCAGUAGCAUUGCAGACGGGGGCUGACGGGAGCAUCUGUAACCGCCGUGUGCUGUCCAGCUCGACCGCAACAUCCCCAGGAGCCUGCGGCCAAAACGGGCGGGGCGCGAGACUCUUCCCCAUGACGUCCAGUCAGCCGCUGACUGCCGAGUCCAAAAAAAACGCUACUCCUCCUCGUCCUUCUUCCCGCCACGUCAUGCCCGCGUCUGCACGCUCUCACUCCAUCCAUCGCCCAUCCGCCUGUCUUCCUCGCCCUUUCCCCAAACUCACAACCCUGGCCUCUCUUCCCGCUUCCCAUCACCUCUUGCACGAGUUUUGAGGCCAGUGAUUCAAAUGGAUCCGGGUUGACGGUGUUUCUGUUUGGAUCCAUUCCGAAUGAGAGCCCAUUUUUAAAGGAGAAAAUAAACAAAUCGGUCAUUUUAUAAUCCGAGACAUAUUCGAAAUUGACCCGCCUCCUUUACGAUACGAUCCGCUCCGCCUAGUCCUCGCACAAAUCAUCGUCGACCCUGCCCAGAAUAAAUAUUUAAAUAUUUAAAUAAUAUAAAAAUGUAAAGUUUUGUAGUUUAAAUUUGAAUUAAUUUUUUUAAAAAAAUUGGUAGGAUGGAUUUGAGGUAAGAUUUAAUUUGGUAAUAUUAUAGCUAAAAGUAUUAUUUUAUAUUUUAAAAUAUUUAAAAAUUUUAAAAAUAACUUUAAAUUUUUUUAUUUUAUGUUAUAAAACUACGAGAGCAACGGACACCGUAUUACUAAGUUAUGCCUAACUGAACUUUUAGAACAAAUUUUUUAAAAAAGGGGCAAUUUCAUGGAUACCCCUCCCAAAGUCUAAAAUAUCAUAGAUGUCCCUAUAAAGUUUAAAAUAUCACCCAUACUCUUGUAAACACAGAAAAUUAUCAUCAAUACCCUUAUUGUUAGUUAUGUUAGCUUUACCAUAGUUAUUAAAUGGUUAAAGAUGGGUUAAAUUUUAAAAUGACUUAUUUACCCUCAAGUUUUUCUUAAGUUAAAAUGUAUGGAGACCCCCUCAACUAUAUGCCAUUUUGAAACAGCUCUCUCAACUUUCAUUUUUUUAGUUGAUAUCCCAUUAGCUUUUAAUUUUAAAAAAAAUUAACUAAUUUCAGUGUAUGAAAAAAAGAGAAGUUUUUAGUUUUUUUUGAUAAUUUUACCAAAUCUAGUGGCUCUAUUUAUAUUUUAUCGAAUAAAUAAUUAUACAUAAAAAUUUAAAUGAAAAUAAUGUUAAGGAAUUAUCCGAUCUUUCUUUAAUCUUGAAAGCUUAAAAUUUUUUUUUAAUCAAAAUAUUCUUGAUAAUUUUAUCUGCAUUAAACGCAUUAAAAAACUGAAAUAUAAUAUAUUUUAGCUUUUGAACAAAACUCUCUUUUUGUUUCAAUCGACAGAACAAUGCUUGCAUAUAGUUAUGUGAUUUACUUUUGCUUAAAUAGGAAAAAAAUAAAAUCUAUAAUUUAUUUCAAAAUUACUAUUACUACUGAACCUGAACCGAAAUCCGAAACUAAAAACAAAAACAAAAUCAGAUAAAAACAUACUAUAUAUAAAAUAUAAUUUUUAUAUAUUUUUUAAUAAUUAAUAUAUAUUAAUAAUUUAAUUUAAUAUGUAUAUAUUAAAUACUCAAAUUUAGAUUUACAAAAAAUAUCUUGAAAUACCUAUUAGUAUUUCUACUAUUAAUAAGAAAUAAAGGGUAAAAAUGGUAUUUUGAAAAUUUAACUCCUUUUCAGAUGGGAUUUAACGGAUUUUAACUAAUGAGGGGUAUUUAUGAUAAUUUUAAACAUAUUGGAGGGUAUUUGUGAUAUUAUCAAUUUUAGAAGGAUAUUGAUGAAAUUAAUAAUUUCUAGAAGGAUAUUUAUGAAAUUAUUUCUUUAAAAAAUUUCUUAAUUAUAACCGAUAGAAUAUAUUUGAAAACUAAUAAGUGUGUUGAGCCAAAUGAAAUAGUAAUAUAGUAAUUAUAUAUUAAAAUAAUGCUUUAAAAAUAUUUUUCUUUCUAUACUUUUAUUCAUCAUAGAUUAGAUGUUUCAAAUCCAAUCGUAGAAUAACAGAAAAAAAAAAUUCCCUCCUCAAUUAUGAAUCAUUCAAAAAUAAGAAGAAAAUUUAUUGCGACAAUAAUAUAUAUAGAUAUUCUCAAAAUUAAUUUUAGUGUGUCAUGUGAGAUAAUAAAAAGUCUGAUCAUAAAUAAUAUAUAUAUAUNAUAUAUAUAUAUAUAUAUAUAUAUAUAUAUAUAUAUAUAUAUAUAUAUAUAUAUAUAUUACAAUAAUAAACUAUGAAUAUUAUUAUUAUUAUUAUAUAAAAUAAAUAUAACAGAGAAGGCUAUAUGAAGUUUUAAAUAUAACGAUUUGAAAGUUGAAGGACCAAAAUGAAACUCGACUCACUCUAUAAAGAAAAAUGCAUUUUGUACAUACCAAAAAGGAGUGUAGAUCUUACCCCUAUAAUUUUCUGGUUGAUAAAAAUCAACUUAAUUUUCAGUAAAAUUUUAAAAAAUUAAUGUGAUAAGAAUAAUCUUAAAAUAAAGUGUGUAAAAUGUACACUCUAUUUUAGAUUGUAUCUAUAGAAUUGCUCAUCUAUAAAUUCCCCAACCCACAAGCUCAUCUCCACACCACCCAUGGCUCCCUCUACCUUUCUCCUCCUCCUCCUCCUCCUUACCUCCACCAUUAACACCCUCUCCAGAGCUUCACCAAGAAGCGUUUACAUCAUCCAAGUAAACAACGAGCUCAAACCCUCCGCGUUCCCAAACGUCGAUUCCUGGUACUCUUCCACCCUCUCCUCUCUCCUCCUCACCACUAAACAAGAUGAAGAAGAAGCAGAAGAAGAAGAAGACAAUUAUGGUGUGGGCAUGGGCAUUCUCCACACUUACCAUACAGUCUUCCAUGUCUCGCCGUCUUCCCCGACCGCCUCCGCCGCCCCCACACCACCCGCUCCCCGCAAUUCCUCGGCCUCGUCUCCUCGAAUCCUCGCCGUCCCCACGCUCUCCUCUCCGCAGCUGACGCCGGCGCCGGAACCGUCAUCGCCGUGCUCGACACCGGCAUUCGCCCCGACCACCGCAGCUUCUCCGCCGAGGGGCUCCCCCCGCCGCCCAGCCGGUGGCGCGGCGCCUGCGAGCCCGGGCCUAAAUUUCCCGCCAAUUCCUGCAACCGCAAGCUGCUCGGCGCCCGCUUCUUUCCCGCCGGAUUUCUGGCGGCGAGUAAGAGGAGGUCCGCUAAUGCCACCAAUUCGGACGUUCUGUCGCCGUGGGACUCCGACGGCCACGGGACCCACACCGCCUCCACCGCCGCCGGCGCCGUCGUAUCCGGCGCGUCGCUCUUCGGCUUCGCCGCCGGCGAGGCUUCCGGCGUCGCCCCCCGCGCCCGCGUCGCCGCCUACAAGGUCUGCUGGUCGCCCGGCUGCUUCGACUCCGACAUCCUCGCCGCCAUCGACCGCGCCGUCGACGACGGCGCCGACGUCGUCUCCCUCUCCGUCGGUGCGUCGCCGGCGCCUUACCACCUCGACCCUAUCGCCGUCGGCGCCUUCGCCGCCGCCGCCCGGCACGGCGUCUUCGUCGCCGCCUCCGCCGGCAACGACGGCCCCGGCGAGAUGACCGCCACGAACGUCGCCCCCUGGAUCGCCACCGUCGGCGCCGGCACCAUCGACCGCCGGUUCCCCGCCGACGUCGUCCUCGGCGACGGCGCCCGUUUCCCCGGCGCUUCCCUGUACGCGGGGGAACGCGUCCCGCGCGACCGUUGGUUUCAACUGGUUUACGCGGGAAACGUCUCAACCGCCGUUUCCCGCUCCACUGCGCCGUUCUGCGCGUGGGGGUCGCUGGACCCGGCGCUGACGCGCGGCAGGGUGGUGCUGUGCGAGCGCGGCGGCGUCCGUCGUGUUGAGAAGGGAUUGGCCGUCAAGGCGGCCGGCGGCGCCGGUGCGAUCAUCGCGAACCAAUUCUUCGACGGCGAGGGCGUCGUCCCCGACGCGCACCUCAUCCCCGCGGUGGCGGUCGGGUAUUCCGCGGGCAACGCCGUCCAUGCAUACGUCCGCUCCGCGACGGGGCCGCGGGCCGAGCGCGCAGUCGCCGUACCUGAUCAAGCCGGACCUGAUCGCCCCCGGCGUCGGCAUCCUCGCCGGGUGGGCCGCCGACGUGGGCCCCACCAACCUUCCGGCCGACGCGCGCCGGACGGAAUUCAACAUCAUGUCCGGAACAUCGAUGGCGUGCCCGCACGCGUCCGGAGUGGCGGCGCUGCUCAAGGCCGCGCACCCCGACUGGUCUCCCGCAGCCGUCCGUUCGGCGAUGAUGACCACGGCGUACGUCACCGACAACCUUGGCCACGACCUCGUCGACGAGAGCUCCGGGAACCGGUCCACCGAGUGGGCCCACGGGGCGGGGCAUAUGGACCCCGAAAAAGCAGUUGAACCUAGUCUAGUCUACAACACGACGGCCGACGAUUUCUUGAACUUCCUAUGCGCCUCGAAUUACACAGAAAUCGAUAUCCGUGCAAUCACACGUACUUUCGUAAAAUGUUCAAACAAUACAAGCAUGCCUUGGGAUUUAAACUAUCCCUCGAUUUUAGUGAUGAUCGAGCAGUCGGCGGCGGCGGCAGCAGGUGGCAGACUCGAGGCGGUCGUCCGCCGGAGGCUAACGAGCGUCGUGAAAGGGAGGGGAGAGUACCGAGUGAGCAUCAGAGAGCCCGCGGGCGUUGCGGUGGCGGUCGAGCCGGCGAAGCUCGUGUUCGACGGAGAGGGCCGGGAACUGGAGUUCCGGAUUAGGGUUUCGGCCGACGCCGUGAAGCUGUCGCCAGGGAGCGCCCGGACGGAGUUCGGGUCGAUAACGUGGUCCGACGGGAAGCGCCGAGUUAGGAGUCCGAUUGGGUUCACAUGGCAGCAACCUUACUAGCCAUAUACCUCAAAGAAGUAGGGUUUAAGGGUUUUAUGUAGAGCAAAAAUGGAAAGCGCGCCUUGUUUUACAUGUUGCUCACUUUGAAAGGAACGAAACUAAAAAUGGUUAGAAAAGAGAGUUUCUCAUUAAAGAUCAAGUGAAUGAAAAUGGUGUUUACUUUGAAGCUUACAUACAAUCCAAAAUGGAGUUUUCCUGUAUUUCUCAUAUAAUAUACAAGGCCAUUUUAACAUAAAAGGAAAAUUUUAGAGAGUUUAGAGUGUGUUUUGGUUACCUCAAACUCAAGAAUGGAACCCACGACCUCGAGUGAAGUUGUCGUUGUGUAUAGAUUUUGCACGUGGACUGUAAUUCUGAGAUCCACUAAAAUAUUAAAGACUAUAUUUGGAUAAUAUCUUCCUAGUAUGUUAAAAAAAUAUUAGUAAAUAAAGAGAGUGAUCAAAUAAUUAGUAUAAAAUAUCACAUUCAGCGUUCAAAUCAAUUUUUAGAAUAGGAUAAAUUAUUGUGUAGGUAUAUAAUUAUUCAUCGUUGGUUUAGGAAUAAGCAAUUCUAUGAUAGAUACAAUGUGAAUCAACUAGGAUUCGAACAUGAGACUUUUGUUGGUUUAAAUGGGCCAGCAUCCUGCCUUGUGGCGGGAGGCCAUGUGGGCCGAGUCAUGUUCGAAAUGGCGUGAGGCUAGGUUGGGCCGAGUCAUGUUCGAAGUAGCGUGAGGCUAGGUGGGUCGAGUCACAAUCGAGACCCGUGGGUGCUGUUUCUGUACGCUUUAAAUGAAUUGGUUGCGUAUUUCUAACAGCUCGAGCUUUUGGGAUUAAUGGUUAGCGCCAACGAUCCGACAAGUGGUAUCAGAGCUAGAGGUUACGGGUUCGAUUUCUGCAUGCUGCAAAUGUGUGCAGGUGCUGGAGGGGGGAUUGUUGGCUUAAAUUGGCCAGCAUCCUGCCCUGUGGCGAGAGGCCAUGUGGGCCGAGUCAUGUUCGAAAUGGCGUGAGGCUGGAUAGGGCCGAGUCAUGUUCGAAGUGGCGUGAGGUCAGGUUGGCCGAGUCACAAUCGAGACCCGUGGGCGUUGUUUUUGUACGCUUUAAGUGAAUUGAUUGCGUAUUUCUAACAGCUCGAGCUUUUGGGAUUAAUGGUUAGCACCAACGAUCCAACAAGUGGUAUCAGAGCCAGAGGUCACGGGUUCGAUUCCUGCAUGCUGCAAAUGUGUCCAGAUGCUGGAGGGGGGAUUGUUGGCUUAAAUGGGCCAGCAUCCUUCCCUGUGGUGGGAGGCCAUGUGGGCCGAGUCAUGUUCGAAAUGGCGUAAGGCUGGGUUGGGCCGAGUCAUGUUCGAAGUGGCGUGAGGCCAGGUGGGCCGAGUCACAAUCGAGACCCGUGGGCGCUGUUUCUGUACGCUUUAAGUGAAUUGGUUGCGUAUUUCUAACAGCUCGAGCUUUUGGGAUUAAUAGUUAGCGCCAACGAUCCGACAACUUUAAGAAUCAACUACGCCAACGAUCCGACAACUUUAAGAAUCAACUACCAAAUCCUUUGCCACUUACGCUAAGGACGAUCUGUAAUACUAAUUUUUUGGAUGGUUAUAUUAGAAUAGAGGAAAAAAGAGUAAUUAUAAUUAUAAAGUAAAAAUAUUUAUCUAAUUAUUUAACAUCAAAAUAUUAAUUAAAAGUAAUUUAAUAAUUAAUAAAUUUAUUAGCUAUGAAUAUUGUAUAAAAUAAUAAAAAAUAUAUUAAUUAAUUGAUUAUAAAAUAUAACUUAGGGUUUAGGGUACCAACCACACAGCUCUUUGCCACUUGCACUAGAGACUAUUAAUUUUUUUUGAUAAUUAUAUGAUACUACCAAUUUAAUGUUAGAGUUUAUAAAAAAACCUGAGUCAACAAAGCUUGGUCAAAAUUAUGUUGAGUUCGGCAAUAUUUACAAUCGGCACAAAAAAUCUUUAAACAGUGAUAACUUUUUGCUCGGGCGUUAAUUUUCAACAUGCAAUUCUAAUUAGAAAAAUACUUUUCGAGAUCUACACGUCAAAAGACAAAAUCGUUGAUCCGUCGGAGGAGGAAGUAAUGAUAGAUAUUUGAAACCAGAUUAAAAAGAAAAAAAAAACACACACAAUAUUUUUAUAUAGAAAAGUCUGUAUAUUAAUUUUCUCUAAGCCGGAGUGGCUUUAUAAGAGCCAGUAGGGCCCUAUUUAUAGCCUUCAGGCUUUCAAGAAGAUAAAAACAAAAUAUUUUGAAAAUAACAACUUUAUCCUUAUCCUAUCCAAAGUAGUUGGAAUCACCUCGAUCUUAUCCUAACCGAAAUAGUUUGGAACCAUCUCGAUUCCUAUCCUAACUGAAUUAGUUGGAACCAUCUCGAUCCUUAUCCUAACCGAAUUAGUUAGAAUCAACUCUGCUUUAUCUGCUACGAUUGAAACUUAUCUGAAAUAUUUGAUCGUCCCGGAUCAUGGCUUCCCAAUUUUGAGAGGAACCAGCACUUGUUGGAUCUAGAACUGCAAGUGAGAAAAUUGAGUUUUUCCGGUUUUCUUUAAAAAUCGAGUAUUCUGCAUAUAAACUCGCAUAUUUAUAAAAGUCUAGCUGAACUUGCAUGAAUAUUGACAAAUAAAGUGCUGCUACUGGUGGUCGUGAUAGCAUAUCAACCAGUUUGUUGUGAGCGUCUUUCUUAUACUUGACCACCAAAUUGAAUUACUGCAACUACGUCAUCCAUUUCAUGUGACGCGCCUGCUGCAAUUUUGAUUGCAUUUGGAGGUACUGAAGCGGGUGGUGAUCUGUAUGCACCACUAUCUCCUUUCCUACGAGGUAGACCCGCCAAUGCUUCACCGCCUGGUGCAGUGCCAAAAGUUCCUUAUCUUAGGUUGAGUAGUUCUUUUGAGCUCCUUAGAAUAUUUCUUGAGUAAUACGCGAUAGACCACUACAGGACAUUAGUUAAAAUGUGACACUUAUUUAGCGGCUUUUUGAAUUGGGCCCGCUCAAAAUAGUAGCCCAAACUAUAUAUUUCUCUUCUCUUUAGAUGGGUCUAUCCCAUAAGUCCUAGCCCAUAAGUAAUUAACCAUCUCCUUCUCUUUCUCUCUCUCUAGGCCCAAAUUACCUAUCUCUCUCUUUCUCUCUCUCCCUCUCUCCCUCUCCUACAUAGACCCAAAACCCGACACCUCUCGCCCUUUCUCCCUCGCGGAUCCACAUUGUCUCCUCCAACGUCUUCUUCUCUAGGGUUUUCUCCUCAACCACUUUCUAGGGUUUUCGACUCGUCCGCUCCUCUCAACCUCACGCAUGAUGGCCGGAUUGCGAAGGAUCGUUCGCUGAGGCGAUCCCCCUUGAGCUCGCACGUGAUCGUCGCUUGGGAGGACCUUCGCCGAGGUGAUUCCUCUUGAGCUCGCACGUGAUCGUCGCUUGGGAGGACCUUCGUCGAGUCACACACGAUCGCCGCUUGGGAGGACCUUCGCCGAGUCGCACGCAAUCGCCGCUUCGGAGGAAUCGUUCGUCCACCUUCAUCAAUAUCCUUCUUUCUCACUACUUUUUUUUGGUAAGUUUUGAUCAUUUUUUGAUUUUUUUUUCAUUUUUAAUUAGCUUCGGGUAUUCAUGUAAAUAUCAUUUGUGCAUAUACUUUGUUUGUUUAUAUUAAUCUUUAUCUAGUUUUUUAUUUUUAAUUAGUUUUUUUUUUUUUUUAAUUAACUUCUGGUUCAACUAAUCAAAUCCACCAACAUUUGGAGAAUUGUGACUAUGACCGAUUAGUAUUUAGCUAGCUUGCAAAUCCACAUUUUUAAUCUAUAUUCUUCACCAUUAUUGGCUUGAUUAUUGCAGAUUAACAGCUAACUAGCAUUCCCAUCCCUGUCUUAGCCGAAAUAAACAUCUUGUCCAGCUUGAUUAUUGCGCUCCUCUAGAAGUUCCAUUUCAAUUUCAUUGAACAAAGAGAGGGCUCACAAGAUUUAAUAUAUCUAUGCAUAUAUAUAAANACAUUUCAUACUAACUGUCUAUUACUUUCUAUUAAUCCCGAAUAACAAAAGCUGAGGUGGCAUGACCUCCUUUUUUUGAAAUUUUUUUUAAUUUUUUUAUUUUUUAAAUUCCACAUAAUUCUCUACAUUCUAUAUUUCAUACUAACUAUUUUUUUAGCAAUUAAUUUUCUAAAUUUGGAAACUUUUCUGAUUUUUUUAUUUUUUAAAUUCCAUAUAACCCUCUACAUUCUACAUUUCAUACUAACUGUUAUUUUAGCAAUUAAUUUUCUAAAUUUGGAAACGGUUUUUCAUAAUUGCAAUUGAUAAAUUAUUAUAAACUAUAAUAAUUAAUUGUCAAAUUUAUUACUUUUUAUUAAUUCCACAUAACCCUCUAUAUUCUACAUUUUAUCUAUUACUUUCCAUUAAUCCCCAAUAACAAUAGCUGAGGUGGCAUGACCUCCUUUUUUUUGAAAUUUUUUCUGAUUUUUUUAUUUUUUAAAUUCCACAUAACCUUCUACAUUCUACAUUUCAUACUAACUGUCUAUUACUUUCUAUUAAUCCCCAAUAACAACAGCUGAGGUGGCAUGAUUUCCUUUUAUUGGAAUUUUUUUUAAUUUUUUUAUUUUUUAAAUUCCACAUAAUCCUCUGCAUUCUAUAUUUCAUACUAACUAUUUUUUUAGCAAUUAAUUUUCUAAAGUUGGAAACUUUUCUGAUUUUUUUAUUUUUUAAAUUCCAUAUAACCAUCUACAUUCUACAUUUCAUACUAACUGUUAUUUUAGCAAUUAAUUUUCUAAAUUUGGAAACGGUUCUUCAUAAUUGCAAUUGAUAAAUUAUUAUAAACUAUAAUAAUUAAUUGUCAAAUUUAUUACUUUUUAUUAAUUCCACAUAACCCUCUACAUUCUACAUUUCAUCUAUCUAUUACUUUCCAUUAAUCCCCAAUAACAAUAGCUGAGGUGGCAUGACCUCCUUUUUUUGAAAUUUUUUCUGAUUUUUUUAUUUUUUAAAUUCCACAUAACCCUCUACAUUCUACAUUUCAUACUAACUGUCUAUUACUUUCUAUUAAUCCCCAAUAACAAAAAGCUGAGGUGGCAUGACCUCCUUUUCUUGGAAUUUUUUUUUAAUUUUUUUAUUUUUUAAAUUCCACAUAAUCCUCUACAUUCUAUAUUUCAUACUAACUAUUUUUUUAGCAAUUAAUUUUCUAAAUUUGGAAACUUUUCUGAUUUUUUUAUUUUUUAAAUUCCAUAUAACCCUCUACAUUCUACAUUUCAUACUAACUGUUAUUUUAGCAAUUAAUUUUCUAAAUUUGGAAACGGUUUUUCAUAAUUGCAAUUGAUAAAUUAUUAUAAACUAUAAUAAUUAAUUGUCAAAUUUAUUACUUUUUAUUAAUUCCACAUAACCCUUUACAUUCUACAUUUCAUACUAACCUUUUUUUAGCAAUUAAUUUUCUAAAUUAGGAAACGGUUCUUCAUAAUUGUAAUUGAUAAAUUAUUAUAAACUAUAAUAAUUAAUUGUCUAAUAAACUAUAAUAAUUUCUAUUAAUUUUUAAAUUUUUUCAUUAAUAAAAUUCAAAAAUUAAAAAAAUGCCUCCAAAAGCUUAUGUUCUUAUCUUCUUCUUUUGGGCUUUGCUCACUAUUAUCAUCCCAACUCUCAUUUAUUGGUUAUCACCCACAAAAUGAUAUUUAGAUUUUCAAGGUAAUAUUAUUUUAAAAUGAAAAUUAUUGAGCUUUCUUUUUUUUAUUUUUUUUGAAUUGGCUAAAGUGUUAUUUUUUCUCUAUUUUAUUUCAUUUUGUGAUAUGAUAGGAAGGAAAAAUGUAUAUACAAGAUUUAGGAGAAUGAUGAGCUCAAUGAAGAUUGUAACAACUUUAAAUUAACAUCAUCAACCCCGUCGUCGUUGCCAGCACCAUCAACAUCGCCCAUUAGAUGAAAUGAUAUAACGAGGUAAUAGAAAACUUACAGAGUUUUUUUUUGUCCCUUUUUAUCCUUUUUGGUUAUCAUCCACAAAAUAAUAUUUAGAUUUUCAAGGUAAUAUUAUUUUAAAAUAAAAAUUAUUGAGCUUUCUUUUUUUUUUAUUUUUUUUUUAAUUGGCUAAAGCGUUGUUUUUUCUUUAUUUUAUUUCAUUUUUGUGAUAUGAUAGGAAGGAAAAAUAUAGAUACACGAUUUAGGAGAAUGAUGAGCUCAAUGAAGAUUGUAACAACUUUAAAUUAAUAUCAUCAACCCCAUCGUCGUUGCCGGUACCAUCAACAUCGCCCAUUAGAUGAAAUGAUAUAACGAGGUAAUAGAAAACUUACAGAGUUUUUUUCUCCCUUUUUUUUUCCCUUUUUUUUUAAGGAAAAAUAGAGAAAUAAGUUUGCAAAAGAGGGGAGUUGUAUGAUUUUAUUCAAACUAGGUUUUAUAGAAAAGGUUGAUGCUUCUAUGUAUAUUUGUGAGGUGUGUGCAUUUUUAGUUUUUUUUCCCUGCUACCUUUUGCUUUUUUCUUUUUUUUUUUUUAUUUUUGCUUCACUUCUCGCUAAAUUCUUAUAAGUUUAUGAGUUAUUUUUUUUAUUUGCUUCAUUGUUGGUUAAAAGUUUAUGAGUUUCAUNUGGCACUUUUGAGAGAAUGUUGGUAGUGAAUUUGAAAACCUUUAAAUUAUCUCAAUGCAAACUAUUACUUUAUUUGUAAAUUUUGGUGCUUGCUUAGGUGAGUGCAUUUUUAGUUUUUUUUCCCUGCUUCCCUUUGCUUUUUUUCUUUUUUUAUUUAUUUUUGCUUCACUUCUCGCUAAAUUCUUAUAAGUUUAUGAGUUAUUUUUUUUAUUUGCUUCAUUGUUGGUUAAAAGUUUAUGAGUUUCAUUAAAAGAUAGGUUAAAAAAAACUUAAACUAUCCACUUUAUUUUUUUUUCGAAAAAAGAAACUCCUUAUAAUAGUUUUGAUGUUAUUUAUUUUCUCUCCCUCUCAAGGUUUGUAAUGAAAAGGCAACGAGAAAAAAAAAGGAGGGUGACACUUUUGAGUGUUUUUUUUCCUUGUUGAAUUGAAUAAUAUAGCAAUCCCAUUUAUGAAGGAAUAGGCAAUAUUUUUUUGUUAUCUUUCUAAAUGUUGGCUUUUAGUACAAUUAUGAGAGAGAUGUUGCAAUCAUAAAAAUACAGUGUCAUCUUCAAUUCAAAAAGAUAACAAUCAAUCUUUGUUCUACGGUAAAAUAUACUUACUUGCUAUUUUAUGUUAUUACGUUACCAUAUACAUUUUAAAAUUUUAAUUAUUAUUAUUACUUUUUAACUAAAAAAGUUUAAAGUUUUAUUUUUAUUAUCUACCCGCAACAUCGCGCGGGUUUCUGCACUAGUAAUUAUUAAGGUGAAAGAUUUUGUGUGAAAUUAAUUAAGAUACUCUAAAAGCCGACGUGAAUUAUUUGAUCAGAACGGAAGAUUACAUAGAUUGUAUAUAUACAAGCUAAAACAACAUCGAUCCAGCUCCCUGCAAAUUUCUGUACCAAUUGAACAGCUGAAAUAUGAUCAUAGAAUCCAGAAAAAAAAAAGAGCAUUAAAAAGGAAAUAUAAUAAACUUACCGGCCGAGUAAUGCUCGCUAGCUGGACGCCACAGUACAUAUACAACAGUUAGCACACCAAGAUCAAGAAACCAUAGAAAGGGAGGACUUAUAAUUUG